This 87484-nucleotide long non-coding RNA is filed under the name Gossypium barbadense (sea-island cotton). RNAcentral's name for it is "long non-coding RNA (GBAR_LNC011922)". Lineage: Eukaryota; Viridiplantae; Streptophyta; Magnoliopsida; Malvales; Malvaceae. The record is from RNAcentral.
UUAAUUAUUUUCUUAUGGCUCGGUUUCUUGGUCCCGAAACCACUUUCCGACUAGGGUCAAUUUAGGGCUGUCACACUCUCAUUCUUCGAGUUCGGUUCCAAGCAUCUGAUAUCUUACGAACCUUCCUCUUAUAAUUGUUAUCUUUGUAAGGGAACUCACAUUGUGCCAACCCUUGUGUCACCGGUAUAAACUGCCUUGAUCGAUACUGCCUUAACAUCAUUAGUGGAGCGUAUCCCACGGCUCCCCAUAUUUCAGCCAGAGGGACCCAAUCAAAAUCACCGCACCGAUAUAAGAUUUCGUCAGGGAUCAACCACGGAGCCCUCUAUUCAACAUAUUCAGCUCGUAAAUUCUGGAGAAUAGCUAUCCAUUUCUCUUCUGAGAUGUCUUCUCGCCUUGAUGUAGCCACUAAUUCCUUUAAUGGGGAAUAGUCCUUGGAGAAAACCCGAUAGGAGACCUUCUCCACCUUCUAAAAAUGGCUAUGAAACCAAGCUAAUAGAAGCUGUGCACAACCAAUAAAUCUUCCUUCGCCCGUUCUCCGACAUGCAUUCAAGGAUCUGAAAGUUUCUGCUAGGAUUGCCGGGACGGGUGUGGUACCUUUAUCAAGACGAUCAAAUAAAUCUGAGACGGCUUCAUCUAUAUGUCCUAGUGCCUUAGGAAAGAUGAUCAGACCGUAGAGGCUCAAGGUGAAAACAUCAACCCUCUUCUUCAAAUUCGGGUGUGCUAGGACUAAAUCCCUCAAAUUCCUCCAAGGAAUACACUUACUAUCCCCUUUUUGCUUGAUACGGGCUAAAACCCAUUGUUCGCUCAUUCUCAUGGUACUCAUCAAUUUCUUUAAAAAUGUCGGGACAUUAACAAGUCUUGAAUAAGCCCUGUCGGUUUGAGGUUUUAGGUAAUUAAGUAGCACCAUGUAUUCCUCCACAGUAGGAACUAAAUCGACUCCUCCGAAGAUGAAGCAACUGUAAACGGGGUUCUAAAACUGCACGAGGGCCCGGAACAAGUACUUGUCCACUUUUACGUCAAGCAAAUAGGGUAGGUCACCAUAGUUACAGUAAAAAAGUUACUCGACCUCGCUAUUCCAAUUGUUCCAUAUAUCCCUUAAUUCUUGUAGGUCGUUCUGAGUCACACUGAUGCUGGUGAAAUCCCACAACUCUGAUUCAUAUCCUCUGGUCAAACUAUCUCCUUUCUCUUGUUGCGUUCUCUCGGACCACACUUAGACGGACGCAUUAUCCUCCACUCUAUCAAGAAAUUCUUUUUCCAUGCUAAGUUUUUCUAGUUAGCAACCGAACGUGAAUCAACACCUUUUUACAAUGUGAUUCCAUGCAAUAACAGCAAAACAUAACAAGUCAGUAUUAAAACAAAGAAUAGAACUCAAAGCAAACAGAAAAUAAUCAAGCACCUAAUCGGGUAACCACUAGGGUUUGGUGUGUUUCUACCUAGGGCAGGCUCUUAGGGCUCAUUAUAUGUGGUUCGGUUCUAAAGUAAAGGUACCUGAACCAGCAUAUUCCUCCAUCCUCACCCAUUAUAGGCUCAUAUGGACUGAGUUCGAUUCAGGGGAAUACAUUUCCCUACGGUUAUACGGAGAUGGAAAUCUCACAAAGACGCAGGUACGGAUGUAUCCCGAAAGCGAUCCACUAUCCUAUACGGAAGUGAAGACCUCACGAAUGAGUAGUUUCUCACUUCCACUUAAAAGGUGUGACCACAACAGUCAUGCAAUGCAACAUGCGAGGAUAUAUGCAUAAAAUAACUCAAAGUAAUAAAGAAAAUAGAAAUAAAAUGAUGAAAACCGUAAGAAAAACGGAUGAAAUGCAAUGAAGGGAUCGUGAGUUUAAAACGAAUUUUCAAUUUCGACAAAAGACAAAAAAUUAAUAAAUUUAUGGCUCAACUCUCUCGUUGUCUCCAAUAGAGUCACCAAGCUGUCGAAACUAUUUUUUUGAAAACAAAAAAAACACGAAUCGACUUUUUUUGAAAAUGAAAAUUAAAGCGGGAGUUGCCACCAAUCUUUAUUAGGUGUGAUCGGACCACCUUUGCUUUAAUAAAACGUUCUAGUUUAUUAAAACAGUGUUUUUGGUCUACGAAACUCAAGAGAACAAGUUCGGGAGUCGGUUAUGUGCGAGGAAGGAUUAGCACCCUCGAUACGCCCAAAAAUUGGUACCGAAUUGAUUAGUUAAUGUUUUAAUAUCGAAAAUUGAAAAUCAGGAAUGGAUUUAAAAUACGAUCCCUUUUUAUUGACAUCGAUUAAAAAACACUUGAAUUAGCUUUAAACGAUCGUUAAAGAUUUCCUCGUCUCGAGAUAUUGGAGUAUCACAUCCCGUAAGUUAGGACACGAUAUCAUGAAUUCCCGAGCGCAAGUUUGUCUUUAAUUUGAAUUGGAAAUCCGUGUAUUUUAAAACUCAAAAGGAUAUUUGGCUAUUUAGAACCAACGGAAAAAUUGAAACCCCGUAAGUUAGGGCACAAUUUCUCGAUGUUCCAAAACGCAAAACAUUGCCUCAUUUAGAAAAUUUUCUUUUUGAAAUAUAGCGAGUAUAAUGUUUAAUAAAGUGCGUUAUUCAUUUGGAUUAAAACAAUUUGUUGGAUGAAUGUAACGAGACUUGAUUCAUGGGCGAUGAUGUGAAAAUAUAGUAAUGAAUAUAAGACAAAUACACAUGGAUACUACAUUAUACAAAUGAAUAACAGUAAUGCAAACUUGCGAAAUAAAGAAAUCAAAAUUCGCAUAAUAGCAAUAAUCACGCAAGGUACAUCAUUUAGAUAUUACAUUAACAGUUAAAGACGAAUGAAUUUAAUAAUAAUUUAAAAGGUGUAAAGCAAAUAAAAAUGAAUAAGAUGUAAAACAAUUUUAAAAUGAUAAUGAGGUUAAAAUAAUGUGAAAAAGGAGAUUUAAAAUUGACAAUAUGUAAGACAAUUUAAAAUAGAGGACAUAUAUAUAAUAUUAAAAUAGGUAAUAUAUAUAAUAAAUACUAUAUAAAAAACCUGAAAUGAACAAUAAUAAAACAAUUUAAAACAAAUAAGAGAGUUUAAAAUAUGUUGUAUAAGACAAAUCUAAAUAAGAAUAAGACAAUUUUAAAAUAAUAUAUAUAAAGAAAUUUAAAAUAAAUAUUAGGAGGCUCAAAAUAAUAAUAUGUAAAAGAAAUUUAAAAUAAAUAAUGUAAAAGAAAUUUUAAAGUGAAUAACAUGUAAAACAAUUUAAACCAAGUAAUACAUAUGAAACUUUAAAACAGAUGAUAUACACAAAGAUUUAAAAUAAAUCAUAUGUAAAUUUUUUUUAAAAUAAUGAAUAUGUAAAAAUAAUUUUAAAAAUACAUAAUAUAUAUAAGAAGUAUGUAAAACAGUUUAAUAUAAGUAAUAUAUAUACGAAAUCUUAAGGUAAAUAAUGAUAAAAAAUAAUAAAAGAAUUUAAAAUCGUUUACAUAUAAAAUAAAAUAACAUAUAAAAACUUAAAAUAUAUAAGAUGGUUUAACAUCAAUAAUGUAUAAAACAAUUUAAAAAUAGAGUAUGUGUAAAAGAAAUUUUAAAAUUGGUAAUAUAUAAGACAUCAAAGAAAUAAUUAGUGUAUAUAAAAAAUAGACGUAACAAUUUGAAAUUGAGAGUAUAUAAAUUUUUAAAGUAAAUAAUAAGACGAUUUAAAAUGAAUAAUAUGUAAAGCGUGUUUAAAAUAAACAAUGUAGAAGAGUUUUAAAAUCUAUAUUAUACGAAGCAAAUUAAAAGAGGGAUUCAUAUGAGUAAAUUUAAAAUAGAUGGUAUAUAUACAUAAAAGUGUAAAAUAAAUAAUAUAUAUAAAACCUAAAAUAAAUAACAAUAAAAUCAUUUUUAAAGUAAAUAAAAAGGGAGUUUAAAAUAACAUAUUAAUAAAACAUUUUAAAAUAAACAAAUAAAUAAAUGAAAUAAAGGGUUCAGGACAUGAUUGAAAAUAGAUCAGAAUAUGAGGUAUCAAUUGCAAAUAAAAAAGGAAGGCCAAGGGGAUUAAAUCAAAACAUUCUUAGAUUCACGAGGACAAAAAGGGGUAAUAUCCCAAAUCCAAGCGCUGCGUUUCAUCUGUCCAGGCCAAGGAUCAAAGCGGAAAUGAAAUACAAUAAAAGGGCAAAAUUAUAAACAGGGAAAAAUGCGAAAAUGACUAAAUAGAACGACGCAAGAAAGAAGGAGGGACUAUAAUCGAAUAUAUCCCAUUUGGGCUUUAAAAACACGCGGGUUCCCCUUCAAAACGGGUCGGGCGCGCGGGUCUCCCCCUAAACGAUGACGUUUUGGGGCGUAGGGGGGAGUCCUUGAAACGGUGACGUUUCAUCACCAUUUUUUUACAACCAAAACCCUUUUUUUUUUUUAAUCUUUCAGCCCCCAUUUAAAAAAGAAAAAGAAAACUGUUUGCUUUCUCCCACUCCCCUCUUCUCUUAACCUCCCCCGUGGCCGACCAUGGGUUCAUCGGGGGGCCCUCCACGACCAUACCACGAACGGCGGCCGGUGCUAAGCGAGGCGGGCUCUCUCGGCCCUCUUUUCUGUAGGUUCAAAGGUGGAACCUCCAUAAUCAGUAGCAACGCAAGAAAAGGGGGGGACCCUUCGGUUCUUCGCUCUCCACCGUGGCCAAUGGUCAAACCCCUAGGGGUUCGACGACCUUCAGAUCGGUGAGAAGACGCCGGAGCGCACCCAAAUGGUGGAUCGAAGGUGCGUUUUUUAUUACUAUUUUAUUCUUUUAUUAUUAUUUCAUAUGUAAAAAAGAAAAAAAAAGGAACAAAGCAAAACGGGGUAAAAGAAAAUAAAGAUUGGAAAUUGAAACGCAAACAAUAAGAUCAACUUAAAAAAUCGUCUAUUCCUUUUGAUUAAUUUUCGUUUUUGUAAAUGUCUGUAAACAUAUUUUUCGUUUGAGGCUUCUUAUAGCCGAAUACAAAGAUUUCAUCUACUGUUUGUUGCUGUUUCCUUUUGCUUCUGCUGCUUUGCUCUCUUUUGCUUCUGUUUUGCAGUCCUAAGGGGGUCAACGGCGGUGAAAGUAUGCCAUUUUGGUGUAAGGUCGAAGGAAAAGUCGGCCCUUGGGCGUCGUGCAUGCCGAGGGCGCACAUGGGAGGUGCAGCACCCUAAGCUGCUAGGGUUUCUGAGUUAUUUUGUGUUUUGGGCCGUAUUUUGCUUGGGCCUUGUAGUGCAAUGGACUGUUAUUAUUAUUUUGGUUUUUGUUUAAAUGGGACGGGCAAAAUUGGGCCCGUACAGUAUAUUUGCAACAGUUCUAAGGGGUGGAGGGCAUAGAGGAGGCGACACCUAAUUUUUUUUUUCUGACACAAUCAUUGAAAAUAAUUACAAAAUGACGUGUUUUUAAAAAAAAAAUUAAGGAUGGAGGGUGUGAGAGAGGUGGCACUAGUAUUUUCUAGCGCAGAAAUACAGUUUAAUUAGUGGAGGGUGAGAGAGAGGCAACACCAAUAUUUAUUUUUGUAUUUAUUUAUUUUACAAAUGGUUGUGUUGAUUUAAUUGGAUUUUUGAUUUUGUAGAAAUGGUGUGUUUGAAAGAAAGAUAACAUCUAUUUAUGUUUUCAUUUAAUAUUUUUUUUAUUUUUUAAUUUAAAUGCAAAUAAUAGAAAGAGCAUUAGUUUAAUUUUUGUUGAUAGUUUAUUUUGUAGAGAGGGUGUUUUGAAGAAAGGAAACAAAUAUAUUUAUGUUUUUUUAACAUUAAUUUUUUGUUGUUUAUGUACUUAAUACAUGGUUUCAUGUGUUGAAAAUUUUGAGUAUUUUUUUUCUAUUUACUUAACUAGUAUAAAGACUAUUAUUAUGCCCAAAAAUGUGAUCUUUUCAAAAUUUUAUUUGUAAUUAUUAUGUAUUUGUUUGUUGGCUUUGUUAUCCUAAAAAUACAAAACAAAAAAAAAAAAAACUCAAAUGGUAAAAUAAAUAUAAAUACAAAAAUAAAUAUUGGUAACGACUCUCUCUCCCUCCCUGCCUCUCUCACACACUACAUACUCCACCCUUAAAAGAUAUUAAAAAAAAAAACAAAUCAUGUUGUAAUGAUGUUUCAAUGAUUGUGGUAAAAAAAAUUGUGUGCCAACUCAUUCAUGCCCUCUACCCUUGAUACUAUUACAGACAUACUAUUUUGGUAAAUAAUGAUAUUAGCGUACUAUUUUAAAUUUUUUUAUUUUUAUAUUAUGUAGCUAAAAAAGAAAAAAACAAAAAAAUAGAACAAACUAUGUGUGAAAAACAUUAUAAAUAAUAAUAAUAAAAACAAAUACUUUGAAGUGUUUAUGAAAACUUCCAUUUAUUUUCAUAUAUUUCUACUUUUAUCUUGCAAAAUUGUUUAAUAUUAAUUAUAAAUUAGACUAGUAAAAUAGUUUAAUAAUUUGCGAAACUUUUAGGCACAAUUUAAAAAUUUAAGAAUUAAAAAAUAUAAAAUUUUAUUAUAACUUUAUAAAAUAUACAUAAAUAAUUUUGAUAAUAUAAUUUUUUAAAAUUUAUAAUAUAAUAAAUUUUUUAUCAUAACCAUCUAAAAAGAUCAUAAAUAUACAUGCUUAAAAUUAAAAAAAAAUAAUUAAAGUGCUCAAAUUAUACUGAAUUUAGUGAGAUCUAUUAAUUACAAAUAUUAACUUAAAUGAAUAAAUAUGGAGGAGAUGAAAAGUCAAAGGUUUUGGAUCAUGGGAAAGGGAAAUCGUUUUCAAAUAAAAAUUGCUUUCAAUUUCAAUUAAACUUUACUUCAUACAGGUGUUGGUAAAUCGAAUAGACAUUCCAAAACUAUUCAGUGCAUAGAAAACGAAUUACCUGCAAAUUUCCAAUGAGUUUGAUAACCAACGAGUUGAAUCCAAUAGAGAUAAUGACACUUUUGUACACUUACAAUUGUAGGGGGAAGCCGACACAUUUCUCCAGAACUUUUUAUUCAUUUAUGGAUUUGUCCGUCCAUGGAUUACUUUAUUACGUCUUUCUCCAUGGGAACAUUGAAUCAAACCAUUGACGUCAUGGCUUAUGUUUGCAUUUUUCAUCUUCUUUAUUAGCGACGGAAAUUCCUUUCCAAUCCCAUGCGAUUUCGUGUUCAUAUGCAUUGUUCUCAUCGAUCCAAAACACGUGGCAAUAUCCUAUGUGUUCUCUGUCCUUGUCACCAAGAUAGAUCAUGUAUUUCCAACUCCACUUUAUUUCUAUAUAGGUGUGCAAGUGAGAUUUAUGCCCAAUCAGGAGGCCAGAGUUGAGCGUUUCAGGCGAGUAGCGCGAGCAAUUGGAGUUAAAGGCCGACAACAAAUAAUCUCAGAACCUUUAGGUACGUUUUCGUUUUUUUUUCUAUUGUUUUCUUUUUUGAAGAUUAGAAAGCUUUAAACUUUGUUUUAAUUUGGACAGUGCGUUUCGCACUUACUCUUUUAUUUGCUAAAAUAUCUCAGUUGAAAAUUUCCAGUCUGGGUUUGUUUUCUCAAAUCAAAGAUUGAUUAGUUAUUCAUAUAUGCACCAAGGAGUUAGUUUUUAAGAACAUAUUGUUUUUAGCUGAAAGAGUCUAAAACACAGAAUCGAAACAUUAAUUAAAAUUUUCAACUAUUGAGCAUAUAUCGCAUGUUUAAAUAUGUUUGUUAUCAAUAUCUCGUCAGACGGCUUGGUAUUAACAUUGCCACUAAUACCUACGUCUAUGGACAACGUCUCACUAGUCAAUAAUAAUCUAUGUCAAUCUCAUUGCUUCCAUCGGUGCUUAUCUAGAAGGUUAUUAUGCUCUUUUAAGAAACUAAUCAUGACACCACAUGUUAUAUCAACAUUUUCUUCUCCUCUCAUUAAACAAGGAAAUCACGUUUCACUAGCGAAGUUUUGAUGUUUUCGAAGUUGUGCUUCCCAGUUGCACCAUAAUAGAAGCUACUCAUACUGGUUACUAUAUAUUCAAUCAUUUUUGAAUUGUCCAUAUAUAAUCUUAUUAUUUUGUUGAUAAUUUAGUCCCACCCCCAUAAAACGAGCUGUUUUAUUAUUCUAUAUUCUUUGAAGUUCUCAUCCAUGAAAUAUACUGUUAGCUUUGAAGAGAUUAUAUGGUUUGACUCGAGUUGUCGAAAUGACAGGGAAAUGGCAAGUUACAGUCAAGGAUGUUUAAUCUUGGUUGGGAUUUUAGUGACACUGAGUUUACCAUAUUCACAUGCCUUUUGGGGAAAUGAAAAUAAGAUACAAACUGCUGUUUUUGUAUCACCUAAGUUCGUGCUCGGACCAGGAUCUGUGGAAAAUAGGUUCUAUUACAACGUCGACUUUCCGAAAGGUCAUAUUGCGGUGAAAAGUUUUGAUGCAGAAGUAAUUGACGAGGCCGGGAAUCCUAUUCCACUGCACGAGACGUAUUUGCAUCAUUGGGUUUUUAUUAGAUACUAUGUACGUAAAGGUGUGGAAAUAUCAGAGUUUGAUAACCCUAGAAAGUUUAACGAGUCGGACUAUAUUUCUGGGAGAAACAGUGGGAUAUGUCAGAAUCUUGGUCAGUUCUUUGGCCUUGGGUCUGAGACACGGAAAACUUCAACUCAUGUUCCCAAUCCAUAUGGAAUAGAAGUCGGUAAUCCUGCUGAGAUUCCUUCAGGAUUUGAGGAGCAAUGGAUGCUUAAUGUUCAUGCAAUUGAUACAAGGGGUGCUGAAGACAAGUUAGGAUGUACGGAAUGUCGUUGUGAUCUGUAUAAUAUUACAGUCGAUGAAUAUGGAAGACCUUUGAGACCUGACUAUAAAGGAGGUUUGUUAUGUUGUUACGAUCAUACACAAUGCAAGGUAAAACAUGGGUUCAAGGCUGUUAGAAGAACCCUUUACCUUAGAUACACUGUGAAGUGGGUUGAUAUGGAUAGGUCCGUCUUGCCUGUUAAAAUUUAUAUAUUUGAUAUUACCGAUAGUUGGAAAAGGAGCCGCAGUUCAACUGGGAUUAUAGCAGAGCACGAGUGCAAGGUAUAUGAACUAUUUCGUUUAUGUGCUGUAUAUAAGAGGCAAAGUCAAUAAUUUUAUUUUGUAAGAAUGACAUAAAAUUAUAAAAAUUUGAAGGAUUAAAAAUGAAAAAAGUUCAUUUAUUCAAAAGCUAAAAAGUUGAAUGAUUUGUGUUUUGAAAGGGACUAAAGGGAAAAUUUUUCAUUUAACUGCCUUCUCUUUUUACCGGCUUCGCCACUGUGCUGAAACACAAAAUAUCGUUUUUUGUCAAAUAGAAUAUUUUGUGAAAUGCCAUCAUUUAAUAUCUUGGAUGCAGGUUGAAUAUGAUAUUGAAUCUUGCGAUGCCACCGGAAUGGGCGAUGAUGGAUGCAUCGACACCAGAAGGAUAAGCCUUGACAUGCCAUUUGGUGGUUAUCUCAUAUAUGGUGUUGCACACCAACAUUCAGGUGGCACUGGUUCCGCUCUGUAUAGAGAGGUAUUGAAAUGCCUUACUUCUACUUUACACUUUUAUAGAUAGUUUUAAGGGUAUUUAUGUUUUCUAAAUAUUUUGAGAUUUAAACUCAAAACAUUUUAAUCUUUAUUAUCUCAAUUUUAUCAUUUCAAUAAAAAAUAUUUACUUUUUAUGUCACUUUUUAUAUUAAUUUUUAUAAAUUUGUUAUGUAAAAUUUUUCAUCCCUUGGAUGUAUCAUAAUUUAGUGUGUAUAAGUAUCAUAAUUUAGUGUGUAUAUAUAUACACACGCAUAUUCACUAUCUGUUGACGAUUAUGAGCUGUGUUGUACUUCAGGAUGGCCAACUUAUGUGUUCUUCAUUACCGACUUAUGGGGAAGGAGAAGAACCUGGAAACGAAGCUGGUUAUAUUGUAGGAAUGACUACCUGCUAUCCUAAACCCGGAACUGUGGAGAUAUCUAAAGGGGAGACUUUGAUUUUGGAGUCCAAUUACAGUAGAAUCAGGCAUCAUACUGGUGUCAUGGGGCUGUUCUACAUUUUGGUUGCAGACAAGUUGCCCAAGCCAAUGCAGGCCUUGCACACUGUUGUUCAAGUAAGUUUCCGACUCUCAAAUAGUAAAAUUGAUGAAGAAAAUUCAUUAACCCAACCAGAUGGUAACUCAUUAUUCACAAAUAUAUUCUUUUACUAAUGUUAAUUUCGAUUAAACCAAUGAUGUUUUAAUAUCAUCUGAUGCAGACACAGGACAGUAUUAUGGUGGUAACAAUCCUCUGGGCUGCGGUAGCUUUGAUCGGUGUGGUAGCUGUCAUGGCUGUUGCGGUUCAUUAUCGACUUAAACGCGAGGGAGAAGAUGGCUAUGAAGCAAUUGGGAUGUGAAUGUGCUCUUAUGAGCUCUACUCUGUAUUGCAUCUUACAGUUCCAGCAACUUUGUUGUCAAAAUAGUGAUAUGUAUAACAUAUAUAUAUUAGUAACUUUUGAACGUUACGUUCAUAUGGAAGACGCCAUUUUUGUAUAUACUUUUGAAAGAUAUAGAUCAUGGUUAAGGUGUUUCAGUGGUCCAAAACAAGAUCUGGCAGUGGCUCUUCUCUUUCUUUGGUGUGGAAUGGGCCCUUUGCUGCCUUAUUAUCAGCCAUGGAUUUCUCUUGGAAUAUUAUAUGAAUAAGAUGGUUGAAAGAAAGUCUAAAUUAUUUAUUUAAAAUGAUACUUUUAAUCUCAUUAAAUAAAUGUGUACAAAAAAUAAAAGGGUUAUUUGAAAGAAAGAAUUGAUUUAUUUUCAAAGAUUUAUUUACAUACAACUUAAAAUUUUCAAUUUGAAAUUUUGAAUGCAUAUUAAAAGUUUUCUAUGACGUGAAGGCGGUAGGGGACCAGGGGUGGUGAUUGAGCUUUUGGUUGAGUGUUUUUAGUUUUCUUAAAUUAUUCCUUUGAUUUUCGAUUUUCACAUGUUUUAAACUUAUUUUGAUAAAAUUUGUUUUACUUUAUUCCUUAGACAUUAUUUGGUAAAUUUAUUUAAAAAUCUUUUUUUAUAAAUAUUUUAAAAAAUAAAUUUUCAAGUGAAUAAAAUAUAAUGAAUAACUCUUAUAUAUUAUUUAAAAAAAAAACAAUUCAUCAUAUAGAAUUUUAAGUUUCCUUUACUAUAUUAAAUAUUUAUUUUUAAAUUAUAAAAAAUUAAAAUUAAUUAUAAAUAAAAAAAUAGAAUUUAUCCAAGUUGAUAAAUGUGGUUUUUUUUUUUUAAACUUGUUUUCCUUUUAACUUCUAAAAUGGCGCGAGAAAGGCUAUGUUUUAUAAUAUCUUUUAUAAUAAUAGUUUUUGUUUAAAAUUUUUAAUAAAAAUUUUAAAAAAAUCAUUAAUAAAUUGGAAAAGUAAUACAAUUUAAAAUAUUUAACUAAUUUAAGAUUGGUUAUAUUAAUGUUAGUUGCUCUAAUGUUAAAUUUGUUAAUAUUUAAUUUUAUAUUUAUUUUUACUCUACUUUAAUCAAUGAAUAUAAUUAACUUUUAUUAUAUUUGAAAAAUAUAAAUUUAAUUUAAUAAAUAUUUUCUAAUAUAUAUUUUUAACAUUAUAACAUUAAAAUUCAUAAAAUUUUAAAAUAAAGAUAUAAUUUAUUUAAAAUCAAAUUUAUAUUUAACAUAUAAAAAAUUAAACAAAAUGUAUGAAAUAACUUUAAAAAAUUAAGUAAUUUAUCCAAAAUUGGAAAUAAAUAGAUGAAAUGGAGAGUGACACUAUAGAAAAAACCUUAACGUGAACCUUUCCUUUUUUAUAUACAACCUUGUAAUACAUGGGAAGCGAAAGGAGCGCGGGAGGAAUAGUGGUUGAAGGGCGAGUAGGAGUGAGCUCAGAACGUUUUGGUACGCUUUGGUUUUUGUUUUCUUGUCUCUUUUAUUUUUAUUUGGAUUGCUUUCAUCGAUGGAGUUGGUAGUUAUUUCUUCCCCAAAUCUCACUUACUCCACAGUUGAAGAUAACAGGGUAAAACAUUAACUAUAAACGCGAUUCGUGCGACUCGAACUCAGGUUAUACUUAGACAAUGAACACCUUUAUUCAUCCGGCAAUCAUAUGGAGUUCUAAAUUUCUUUUAUUAAUUCUUAUACUUUAUAAAAAAAUUAUGGAUUUAAUCAUAUAUUUUAAUUUGAUUAAUUUUAGUAUUUUUAUUAUUUGAUUUAGUUAAAUUUAAUAUUUUUGAAUUUUAAAAUUUUAGUCUUAACCCAAACAACAAAGAUUAAAUUCGUUUCGUUAAUUCAAUUAUUGAUCUUGUACUAUGCAUGCAAUUGUAUAUUUGGUCCAUAUUCUCAAAUUGGAUCAUUCUAAAUCCUUGAAUUUUUUUUUAAAUUUUGAAAUUUCAAUUUAGACAUAAAUAAUAAUCGUUAAUCCAUUUACUGAAUUUUUAUUUAGUAAUUUUUGAAAAUAACAAUUUGAUAUAGCAUUACACAUAUGGCCAUAUGUUUGACGCAUCAGAUUUUGAAAAUAGUGGAGCAUAAUUAUUAUUUGGUUAGGACUAAAAUUUUAAAAUUUGAAAAGUACAAGAAUUAAAACAACCAAAUUAAAGUACAAUGACUAAAUUCAUAACUUUUGCAAAGUACAGAAAUUAAUAGCAGAAAUUAAACUUCUUAUUAAGUUGCUGAUAAUUAAUCCCCUCCCCCAUAGAACUAACUCUUGUCUUAUUACAUACAUUUUUUAGUUCAAAUACGUGAAAUAUAUAGUUAGGUUUGAAGAGAUUAUGUGGUUUGACUCAAGUUGUUGAAAUGAUAGGGAAAUGGCAAAUUAUAAUCUGGGAUGGUUAGUUUUGGUUGGGAUUUUGGUGACGUUAGGUUUACCAUAUUCACACGCCUUUUUGGGGGAAAUGAAAAUAAGAUACAUACUGCUGUUUUCCCGUCACCCAAGUUCGUGCUCAGACCAGGAUCCGUGGAAAAUAAGUUCUAUUUCAAUGUCGACUUUCCAAGGUCAUAUUGCCUUGAAAAGUUUCGAUGCAGAAGUGAUUGAUGAGGCCGGGAAUCCUGUUCCACUGCACGAGAUGUACCUGCAUCAUUGGGUUGUUGAUAGAUACUAUGUACGUAAAGGCCUGGAAAUAUCAAAGUUGGAUGACCUUAAAAAGCUUAACAGGUCAAACUAUAUUUCUGGAGGAAACCGUGGGAUUUGUCAGAAUGGAAUUCUUAGUCAGUUAUUUGGCCUCAGGUCAAAGACAUGAAAAACUUCAACUCAUAUUCCCGAUCCAUAUGGAAUAGAAGUCGGUAAUCCUGCUGAGCUUCCUUCAGGGUUUAAGGAGCAAAGGAUGCUUAAUGUUCAUGCAAUUGAUACAAGGGGUGCAAAAGACAAGUUGGGAUGUACAGAAUGUCGUUGUGAUCUGUAUAAUGUUACGGUCGAUGAAUAUGAAAGACCUUUGAGGCCAUGCUAUAAAGGAGGAUUGUUAUGUUGCUACGAUCGUAUACAAUACAGUGUGAAACAUGGGUUUGAGGCUGUUAGAAGAACCUUUUACCUUAGAUACACUGAGAAGUGGAUUGAUAUGGAUAGGUCCAUAUUGCCUGUUAAAAUUUAUAUAUUUGAUAUUACUGAUAGUUGGAAAAGGACCCCUAGUUCAACUGGGAUUAAUGCAGAGCACAAAUGCAAAGUAGAUGAACUGUCUCGUUUAUGUGCUGCAACACAAUUUCUGUUUUGUCAAAUAAAAUUUCUUGUGAAAUAUCAGUAUAAAAUACAUUUGAUGCAGACUGAAUAUGAUAUUGAAUCUUGUGAUGCCACUGGAUUGGGCAAUGAUAGAUGCAUCGACACCAAAAGGAUAAGCCUUGACAUGCUAUUUGAUGGUUAUCUCAUAUACGGUGUUGCACACUAACAUUCGGGUGGCACUGGUUCUGCUCAGGAAAGGAUUGUAUGAAAUUAUGAUUACACGUCAUUUUUUUAUUUUCUAAUAGGAUAAUGAUAAAUCAUAUUUUUCCUCUAAAUUUUUAGUAUUUUUAAUUGAAUUUGAAUUUUUUUCAAUAGGAAAAAGUUGAAAAUCAAAAGAAAAAUCUGAUUUGUCAUUCUCCUAUUGAAAAGGGAUAGGGAUAACUUGGAAUCACAGUUUGAUACAAUACAUUCUCGUUUUGCUCUCUAUAGAGAGGUAUUGAAAUCUCUUAUUUUUGCCAACACUUUUAUACCAUUAUGUAUAUGUAUAUGUAUAUGUAUAUGUAUAUGUAUAUGUAUAUGUAUAUGUAUAUGUAUAUGUAUGUAACGUCCCCUAACCCUAUACCGUCGCUGGAACAGGGUUACAAAACAUUACCAGUCAGUACAGCUCAAUUCUAGUUAUUAAUUAAAAUAAAUAUUCACUCACCCUAGUUUUAAGAUGUCGUCCCAUUAAUGGGCCCUCGUGAUCCAAUAUGAACAGUAAAUUCAAUUUGGAACUAAUUUAGAAUCACUACGAAUUUUUUUUUUUUUAUAAAUUUCAAAAUUCAUACUAUAUACCGUUGCCAACCAUAAUUUACUUAUUUCAUCAAUACUUUUACAACCUAAAUGACUCUCAUUAAACAUCCUAGGUACAUGCCAUUAUCAAUACUCAACAUACUUUACCUCAUUGAAUUCGGGAUCGGCCUGGAAUGCUGAUUCAACAGUCUAGCCUUAACUUAACCUGCGCACGGAAACAAACCGUACGCUGAGUAUACACUCAAUGGUAUUUCUAUAAUCCGAACACUUGAUAAUAUAACAAUUAAACUUAAAAAUCACAAUAACAAAUAUAACUAUUCAUUUAUUUAUUUUAUAGAUAAGUUUCAUUUACUUACCAUAAAAAUUCUAUACAAGCCAUAUAACAAACACAACAACAUAUUUGCUUACCGUAUAAAUUCUUUACUAUAUAUUCAUAAUUCAUUUGUAUUCACACUUUACUUCUUAACAAUAUAUCAUUUUAAUUCAUUCUAACAUCAAUCAUCAUCCAUUUGAACUUCACUCAUUUCAUGAACCUUUUGGUUCAUGUUUUCAAUCUCAUAUCUCAAUUUCAAUUCUCAAUUCAAUUUCUCAUUUCAUUCCAAUAGCUCAAUCAAUCAAAUUCACUCGAUUUAUCUUUUCACUUAUUUACCUCUAUUAACAAGACUCGGACUCUGAUAGAUACGUGGAUUCCUCCCAAACACACCAGAAUAUCCAACCCAAACACACCCGGAAUAUUAUAAAUACUCCAUAACACACCAGUAUAUCAUAUCCUCCCAAACACACCAAUAAGGCAUUAAAUGCCUCUUCGGAUAAACCGAAGUAUAUAAUAACAGAAACAUCUUCUUGGCCGAACUACAAAUCUCCUCAUCACAUCACAAAUCCAAUGGCAUGCCAUUUGUAUCCAAUCUGGUCCGAUACUGUUAAUAGGGUAUUUGAUUCACUUUCUCAAUUUAAUAAAUCUUUCAUCAAUUUACCAUUCUAAUAAUCACAUAUAUUCACACAUUUUCAUAAUUUCAUACAUUUUCAUUCAAUUCAACAAAUAUAUUUCAAUUAUUCACAUUAAUUCAUAAUUCAAUACAACUCAAUUCACUUUUCAAUAUCAAAUAUUCAAUUAUCACAAAUCUCAUAUAUUCAUAUCAAUUCCCUCAUACUCCAAUCAAUAUAAUUUUUCAAUAUAACAUUCAUUCAAUAUUCAAAUUUUUACAUAGAUCAUAUAUAUAAUAUAUAUUUCAAUCAAUAUAAAUUUUAUCAAAAUGAUUUCAAUCAAUAUAAAUUUGAUAAAUUUAUCACAUAUCAAAAUCAAUCCAUUUCAAUUGUAAAACAUCAUAAUUCUAACACUAACAGUUGUCAUAUGUAUAUAAAUAUAACAAAUAAUGACUGAGUUCGGAUUAUAGAAAUACAAACCGUAGUUUUUGAGCUAACUCCUGUUGACUUUAUCUUGUCCUUUCUUAGCCGAGAUUUCCGGUACCAUAUUGACUACGAAAUUAAUACAAUUCAUAAUCAUUAAUACAUUACUAAUUUAUAUCUUGAGUUACAAAAUUCUAAAUUAAGAUUCGCUAAUUUUUCCUGAAACUAGACUCACAAAUCUUCUUACCAUAAAAUUUUCAGAAUUUUUUUUUUUUGGUUUAGCCAUUAAGUACACUUUAUUCUUUAAAUUCACCCCUAUUCUGCGGUCUGACAGUUUCGACCCUUCUUCACUAAAAAUUAAUUAUCUCACAGUACAGAACUUGGAUAAUAUUCCCGUUGAUUUCUCCUAAAAAUAGACUCAUUAGGGAUUCUAAACAGAUUAAUUAUUUUUCUCCAAUUUUUGGUGAUUUUCCAAAGUCAGAACAGGGAAACCCGAAUUCAUUCUGACCUUGUCUCACAAAAUUCAUUAUAUCUCAUAAUUUACAAUUCAAUUGCUUAAACCAUUUCUUUUAUAAGAAACUAGACUCAAUAAGCUUUAAUUCCAUAUUUUAUUCAUCCUCUAAUUCAAUUUCUAUAAUUUUUGGUGAUUUUUCAAACUUAGACUACUGCUGCUGUCCAAAAUAGUCUUAGUGCAAAAUGUUGAUUUUCUACUUUUAAUUUCAAUUUAAUCCUAACUAAAUUCACUUACUUUUCUAUCUUAAUUCAUACUUUAUUUCUACUCAAUUUUUAACCAAACUUAGACAUAAUUAUCAAUUUUUCAUCAUAAAACCAUAAUUUCGAAAUUCUUUCAAUUUAGUCCUUAAAGCAUAAAACUUAUGAAUCACUUUACAAUUCAAUCCUUAUUUCAUUUCUAACUUGAAUUUCUAUCAAUUUAGCCUUUAAUUCAUCAUUUUACUCAACAUGAACAAUAUUUAUAAAUCUAAUAACUUUCAAAAUAUCAACUUAAUUUCAUCAAAACUUUGUUCUAAAGCUUUUAAAACAUCAAAAUUAAGUAAAAAUGGCUAAAUUGACAUACCUAUUAAAGUUUAAUGCUUCAAAACCUUGAUUUUUCCUUUUCUCCCUUUCUUUCUUUCUUUCUUUCCUUUCUUUCUCCCCUGUUUUUAUUUGUUUCUGUUUCGUUUGCUUUGUUUUUCUUUUUCAUUUCUUUUAUUUCAUUUUCUUUAUUUUAUUAUUAAACUAUUAUAAUAUUUAUUAUUUAUACAUGUGUAAAUUUAUUAAUACACAUGUAUUAAUUUUUCACCUUACACUUGUCAUAACUUUUAUUUAUUUAAUUAAUUAAUAUAAAAUGAUAUUAAUAUAAUAUACUUUAAUUAUUAUUAUUUUACUUAUAUAAUAAGUAAAUACACAUGUAUAAUACAUGUGUACCAUUUAUAUUUGUACACAUUUAACUUAUUUUAACCAUACAUUUGUCACCCUUUUUUGGCUUAUUUCCUAUUUAGUCCCUUCACUUUUCUUUAUUCUAUAAUUAAACUUUCACACUUAAUUCAAUUUAAUCCUUUCCACUAAUUACUCUUAAUAAAGCUAAAUUUAUUUAAUUAAAGUCUAAUUAACCACUCAACUGACUUCGUAAAUAUUUUUAAUAAAUAUUUUACGAAUCUAUUUUUUUUAGAAAUAGAGACCCAAAAAUUCACUUUCCCGAUAACCGUAAAAUUUGGGUCAUUACAAUGUAUAUGUAUAUGUAUAUGUAUAUGUAUAUGUAUAUGUAUAUGUAUAUGUAUAUGUAUAUGUAUAUGUAUAUGCGAUCUGAUGAUGACGAGCUGUCUCUGUUUGAUUUUGGUGAAUUUCAGGAUGGCCAACUUAUGAGGAAGGAGAAGAACCAGGAAACGAAGCUGGUUACAUUGUAGAGAUGACCACCUACUAUCCUCAACCCGGAACUGUGGAGAUAUCUAAAGGGGAGACUUUGAUUUUGGAGUCCAAUUACAGUAGAAUCAGGCAUAAUACUGGUGUCAUGGGGCUGUUUUACAUUUUGAUCGCAGACGAGUUGCCCAAGCCAAUGCACACUUUUGUUCAAGUAAGUUUCCAACCCUCAAAUAGUAAAUAUUGAUGAAGAAAAUUCAUUAAUCCAACUUCAUUAAUUCAAAAUUAUAUUCAUUUACAGAUGUUAACUUCGAUUAAACCAAUGAUGUUUUAAUUAAUGUAACAAUCAUCUGAUGCUGUUAGAAAUAGGUAAGAAUACUGAAAAAUUGAUUUAAAGAAGAGAAACAACUGAAAGCAGAUAGGUUGCAAACUGAAAAACUGAUUCAAUUUCUGAAUGAUAAAUUACAUGAUCUCUUUUCUAUUCUUCAGUAAUGUGUUUAUAUAGGUUAUAUAAACUUUGAAUAACUAAUUUAAAACUACUUACUGACUUGCUUAACUGACAACAACCUGCUAACUAUAUGAUCCUUAACAUUCACCCAGCUUUCCUGCGGGUAAUAUCUGAAGAAGGGUUUGAAAUCGAGCAAAACACGUCACUGAAAGUGGUUUGGUAAGUAUAUCAGCUACUUGGUCACAAGCCGAAACCUCACCUACUACAAUAGACCCAUCUGCUACUUUCUCGGGACAAAGAACAGGUCUAACUCAAUGUGCUUGAACUUAGAAUGUAAGACAGGGUUAGCCGCAACAGCUGCUGCACCGGAGCUAUCACACCAAACAGUAGGAGUAUCAGCCGACUUGACUUGUAGCUCUUGAAGUAAUGAAAGCAACUAAACAACUUCAGUAAUGGCUGCAGCAAGACUACAAUAUUCUGCCUUAGCUAUACAGCGAGCGACUACUUGUUGUUUGUUAGACCUCUAAGAUACGGGAGUGGAGCCAAAAUAAACACAGUACCCGAAGUGGACCGAUGGUCAUCAAAAUCUAGCCCCCAGUUGGCGUCGGCAUAAGCGCUUAACGAUAACCGAGCAGACGGCCAAAAAAUAACCCGAAAUUAAUAGUGCCACAUAGGUAUUGCAAAACGCGUUUUAGAACGGCCAUGUGAAUAUUAGUAGUAUUAUGCAUAAAUUGAUAUAUUCGGUUUACGGCGUACGCAAUAUCAGGAGGAGUAAGUACCACGUAAUGAAGUGCACCAGCAAGACUCCUGUAUUCAGUUGGAUCUACUAAACAUUCACCAUCGUUUUUGGUGACAGUAGACGAGCUCACCAUCGGGGUGUGGACGCUCUUCGCACUAGUCAUCAAUGCUCGAUCAAGGAUAUCACAUAUGUAUUUUUCCUAACACAAAUGGAGACACCGGAGGAAGACCGACGGACUUCGAUCCCAAGAAAAUAGUGAAGAUCACCAAUGUCCUUGAGUGAGAACUCAUCAUUCAGCAAACGAACAAACCAAUCAAUAGUGGUAGACAGGCUGCCAGUAAGAAUAAUAUCACCGACAUACAUCAAGACAUAGAGAGUGGAGUCGGACUAGAUACAAAUAAACAAGGACGCAUCAGAUCUGGAAACGACAAAACCAAUUGACACAAGAAACUGCUUCAGCUUUUCAAACCAGGCGCGGGGUGCAUGACGAAAGCCAUACAAUGCUUUCUUCAGACGACACACGAGUGGCUUGCCAGUCGAAUCAUAUUAAACGUACCUCGGAGGUUGUUGCAUAAACACUUCAAUAUCCAACUCACCAUUUAAAAAGGCAUUGUUUACAUCUACUUGUCGAAGAGACCACCCUAUAGACACAACAAUUGACAGAAUAACGCGAAUAGUAGUAGGCUUGACAACUAGACUGAAGGUUUAUUUGAAAUCAUACCUAGGAACCUAAGAACAUCCCUUAGCUACCAAUCUGGCCUUUCGUCGGGCAAUAGUACCAUUAGGAUUUCUUUUAAUCUUGAACAACCACUUGGACCCAAUGACCUUGCGGUUUGGUGGUAAAGGAACAAGCUCCAAGGUAGAGUUACGAAUAAGGGCAUCAUACUCUACCUGAGCAGCAGCUCGCCAUUCAGCAGUAGAGAAUGCUUCCACUAUUGUGGAUGGUUCCAUAGCUUCAACGAUCAUAGCUUUGGGCUUGAAAAUUCCUGCUUUAGCUCGAGUCACCAUCGGGUGAGUGUUGAUGUCAGCCAAUACAUUGGUUGAACCACGAUACGAUGAAGGAACACAUUUCACAUGUCAGGUUGACCCGUCAGUAUCAGUAGACAAUAAGCUAGACUAAUGGAUAUGACUCGGGCCAGUCGGAGACGAGUCAGUCGGUGACAGCCCAUUCCCAGCGGAUGACGAGUUAGAUAGAUUCAGGAACUGUGAUGAGUGGUCUACAAGAGGAGUAGAGACUUUUUAAAUAAGAGGAAAAGUGGUAGAUACAGACACACCAGAUUCCCGAUUCGGAGUGUUGAAGUCAGCUUCAAAAGAGAAAAAUUUACUUUCAUAAAAAAAUAACAUGUCUUGAAACAACAAUCUUACCAUUUGGAAGACAACAUUGAUAUCCCUUGUGUUGAGUACUAUAACCCAAAAAGAUAAAAGGUUAUGACCGAAACGCUAGCUUAUGUGUCACAUACAGACGUAAGUAAGGAUAACAACAACAGCCAAAAACCCAUAAAUGAUCAUAAGAGGGAUCACAACCAUACAGAGCCUGAAAAGGAGAUUGCCUAUGUAGAACCACAGUAGGAAGGAGAUUGAUAAGAUACACUACACAACAAAACGCGUAACCCCAGUAUUUCAUGGAUAGAUUUGCUUGGGCUAAUAGUGUGAGGCCCAUUUCCACAAUGUGUCGAUGUUUGCGUUCAGCAACUCCGUUUUGUUCGGAAGUAUAAGGGCAAGUUAACCGAUGAACAAUCCCUUGAGACAUUAGAACAGACGUGAAGCCCCGCUACACUCCACCCCAGUCACUCUGAAUUUGUUUGAUAGGCUUGUCAAACUGCGUAUUGACCAGUUGCUAAAAUUGAACGAAACUAACACUUGAGCCUUUUGAGUUAGAAGAUAGAUCUACGUAAAUCAAGUGCAUACAUCAGUAAAUGACACGUAAUACCAUUUAUUGUCACAAGAAACGGCUUCAGGUCCCCAAAUAUCAGAGACAAUCAAAUCAAAUGGUUGAUAUGUAGUAGUAGACAUAGAAAAAGGCAAUUUAUGUGUCCUCUUUUUUUGACACGCGGUAUAGAUACGACCAUUACAACCUUUAUUAAACUUGAUAUUACAUUUGUCUAAAACAAUUUGAACAACAGAAGCAGAUGGGUGGCCAAGACGAUUAUGCCACAAAUGAAAGACAAAACAAUCCACAUCAUUAUUUGUAACCUUUGUGUAAGCAGCAAACAGAGCUUCAGCAGGUACUGGAAAAUGAUAUAACCCGUCACGAAUGUGGCCCUUCAGCAGGAAUUCCCGGGUCUUGAUGUUCUUAACAACACAAUAUGUAGGAUGAAAUUCAAAGAACACACCAUUACCAUUAGCAUACUGAGAUACUGACAAGAAAUUUUUUUGUAUACUUGGCAUACACAAUACACUAGACAAAUGUAGCAAUUUAGAUGGAGUGGGUAAAACACCAUUAUCGAUUGAUGAAAUCUAAGCAGGGGUUCUAUCACCUAUUAAGAGAAAAGACAUACUUGAGUAUGGUGUGGUGUUACGUAACGCUGUCGCAUCCCAGCAGACAUGAUGACUGGCACCUGAAUCAGGGUACCAGGAUGUGGUACUAACAGGCAUGGGAAUAUAUGAAUCAUUGACAUCAUCAUUAAAGCCAACUUAGGCCGUGUUAAUAUGAGACCCGGAAGUGUCAGAAUAAUCAGAGGCAUAAAGAUCACCAACACGAAGAAGCCCAAUACACGGAUCAGAGCCUGAGUAUACAUGAGCGCGUGGUUUUGUGUGCCACGAAACUGAGACACCACACAUUAAUCUAGCAUUCGGCCCUAAGCCCUAUGAAGGAUCGACUUGAACAUUAUUAGUAGUUGGCCUUUGUGGCAACAUGGGAGCAGUCGACCUAUGUCCAUAAGGCACCUCAAUAAAUUGCCUAAAUUGCCCAAAUUCAGGCCCAACUCCAAGUGGUGCAUUAACAACAGGCCUAGGCAUAUUAUCUAACAAAGCAUGUGGCUAUGUGCAGAUUGGCCAUAUCUAUAGUCAACCACCUCAUUGACUUGAUUUUGGCCAAUAUAAAUUUGAUUUUGACUAACAUGAAAUUGAUUUUGACCAGCACUAGGAUAGUAACUAACCCUAGGUGUUUUCAUUUGAGGAGACACCCAUUUUUCAGUACUCAUUCAAAACGGAACAACUCGUUCAACACUAGACACUGGAGCAAUGGUAGAACAAAGCUUACGCGAUGUGGCAGGACCAUCUUGAUGCAGUACUGAAAGUGUCGAUUGAGGAUCGGGAUCCCUUGAUAGCGGUAGUAGCACCAUUGUGCGAGAUGCCUAAAUCGACUACAAAUUUGGCAUUUAAUCCGAGGCCGAAAUGGUUACCCCAGACCACGAGGGGACGAACGACUGCCAUGAAUAGAACUUUCUAGCACUGAAUAUGACACGGGCUUAACGAGAUUCGCAUGGAGAGAAAGCUCCUAGGCCGCACGAGUCUGUCGGCUUUCACCCUCCACAAGGGCGUUGACAAGGCGUUGAAAAGAGAGGAGACUAGUCGACAGUGAGGCCGAGAAAACGAUGGGCUCAAACUCCAGUGGUAGUCUGGCAAGUAUGAUUUCAAUCUUCUCUUCUUCUGAAAUCCGUGAACCUGAGGCCUCCAACAAAGCACAAAGGUUUUUAAUCCGCGCAACGUAAGUGUGAACAAACAUGUUACCUUUCUUGAGGGAAUGGAGCUCAUGGCGAAGACGCGACUAUUUGGCCCCCGUGUCAGCCGCAAAAAGAUUCGUCGCUAUGGUCCAAACAUCACAGGCCAACUUAGCGUCGGUGAAAGACAGAAGCAGAGAGACAUUGAUCGUGGAGAGGAGCCACAAAGUCAAGAACCGAUCCUGUUGUUUGAAUACUUGAGCCGACGGAUUCGGGGCUAACGAACCAUCUGUAGUUUGAACAAAUCGAGCCGGUGGAGGUAAGAUACCAUCUAGCAAGCCAAGAAGAUCAUAACUGUCAAGUAUUAACUUGACUUCUUGUUGCCAUUGCAUGUAGGUUUCUUCAGUGAGCUUAACAACUUCAUGACAUGGAAACAAAGUGACCACACGAUCAUCAGUGAACGGCACAAGAGUUGGCUCAACUGCGGCGGAAUCAGUGAAAUUCGUGGUGGCCAUAGAGCCAAAGAUCAUCCAAUGAAUGAUACCAUGUUAGAAACUAGGUAAGAAUAUUGAAAAAUUGAUUUGAAGAAAAGAAACAACUGAAAACAAAUAGUUUGCAAACUUAAAAACUAAUUCAAUUUCUGAAUGAUGAAUUACAUGAUCUCUUUUCUAUUCUUCAGUUGUAACACCCCCUAACCCUUAUCCAUCCUCGGAACAGGAUUACGGGGCAUUACCAGUCAAUUCAGUUCGAUCACUUUAAAUCACGUUCAAACCUACUCAAAACAUGUCAAAUUAGACAUUUUACGUGCUUAUAUGAUGAAUCUUUUUAAGUAUUUCACAUACAUUAUCAAAUAGUUCAAAUUCUUACCAAAUAAGCCAGUUCAUACCAUAUACUAUUACUAAAUCUAAAUUUACUUAUUUCAUUCUUACAUUGACAAUCCAAAAUGACACACAUAGUCAUUUUAGGUACAUGCCAUUACCAAUAAUUAAUAUACCUCAUCACGUUGAGUUCGACAUCGGCCUAGGAUACUGAUUCAACGGUCUGACUUUAACCUAUCCUGCAUACGGAAACAAACUGUACGCUAAGUAUGAACUCAGUGGUAUUUCUAUAAUCCAAACAUUAAAUAGUAAAACAUACACUUAAUAUCAUUUAAUGAUCAUAAAUAUUCAUUUAUUCAUUUCAUGGAUAAAUUCUUUACAACUCAUUCAAUCUUUAUCAUCUAUUAACCCAAUUAGCUUUUCAAAUAAAUUCACAAUCAUUUAAAUAAUAAUAUCUUCCAUUCAUAUGUCUCACUUAUACUUCUGUUCACUAUUCAAUAGCAGUAAAUAAUUUUAAGUAUCGAUCAAUUUAUCAGUUUCAUACAGUAACAUUCAAUCAUUCAAUAACAACUAGUCGUUCAAUAAUAUUCAGUCACUCUUUAAUGUCAGUUAUUCAGUAACGAUAAAUUAUCCAGUAAUAGUCAAUUAUUCAGUAGCAGUCAGUUAUUCAGUACCUUUAUUUACUCCUAUUAACAUGACUCGGACUCGGACAGAUACACGAAUCCAACCCACACACCGGGAUAGCAUAUAGUGUUUCAUGAGCCGGAGCCGGAAUAUACCGUAACGGUAACAAUAACAAUAACAAUAACGGUACACAGAGUACCUCAUCGAAACAAAUCCGGAACAGUAACAGUAACAGUAAGGUACAGAGUACCUCUUCGGAACGAAUCCGGAACAAUAACAGUAAGGCGACACUUAUAGUGUCUCAUCGACACAAAGUCGGAAUAUCCCUGAACACUUCCAAUCCUAUGGCAUGCCAACUAUAUCCGACUUAUCCCAAUACAGUUAAUAGGGUUUCUAAUUCAUUUUCCAGUUUCCAAUCAUUUCACAUCUCGACAAUCAUAUAUAUUCAUAAUUUGAUAUAAUUCAUUUCACUUUUCAAUAACAAAUAUUCAAUUUUCACAAUAAUUACUUAUAUCCGUAUAAAUUCAAUAAAUUAACACAUACCUAAUCAAUUCAUUUCAAUUAUAUAACACAAUAAUUCUCACAUCAAUUACUAUCAUAAUGUUCAAACAAAAUUCAACAAUAAAUAAAUAAUUUCACUUUUCAAUUCUAACCGAUAUCUGUUCUAAUUCAAAUAUUCAUCUCAAAGCACUUUCAAUACAUAUUAAGUAAUAAAUUCAAUAAUUAAAUAUUAAGUUCGGAUUGUAGAAAUACAAACCGUAAUUUUCGAGUUAACCCUCGUUGACUGUCUUUUCCUUUCUUAGCCGAGGUUUUUCGACACAACUUUAACUACGAAAAUUAAAACAAUUUUCAUAAUCAUUGAUACAAUACUAAUUUACAUUUAAUAUUUCAAUUUCUUAUUCAAUUUCUACUUUAAUUUCAAUUUUGAUCUUAACUAAUUUCACUUAUUUUUCUAUCUCAAUUCAUACAUUGUUUCUACUCAAUUUUCAACCAAACUUAGACAUUACUAUCUAAAUUUCAUCAUAAAACCAUAAUCUCAAGUUUAUUUCAAUUUAAUCCCUCUAACAUAAAACUUAUAGCUUCUUUUACAAUUUAAUCCCUUAAUCAAUUCUAAUUUAAAAUUCAUUCAAUUAAACCCUAAAUUCAUUAUUUUGUUCAACAUGAACCAUACUUAUAAACCUAUGAACUUCCAAAACCUCAACUUAAUUUCAACAAAACUUUGUUCUAAAGCUUCUAAAACAUCAAAAUUAAAAAAAAGGACUUAAUUGACUUACCUAUUUAAAUUCCAAGCUUUCAAAUCCCUAUUUCUCCCUUUUCUUUCUUUCCCUUUUUCCUUUCUUUCUUUCUCCCCUGUUUUUCUUUUCUAUUCUCUGUUUCUUUUUUUGUUUUGUUUUGUUUCAUUUCUUAUAUAUUUAUAUAUAUAUACACUAAUUAAUAAUAAUUAUAAUAAAUAUCUAUUUUAAUAAACAAUACAUGUAUUACAAUUAUAUUUAUACAUAUUAUUACACAUGUAUUUUAUCUCCACCCUACAUCUGUCAUAAUUCAAUUUAUUUGAUAAUAAUAAUAAUAAUAACAAUAAUUUAAUAAAUAUCUAUUUAAUACACAAAUACAUAUAUUACAAAUGUACACUUAUAAAUAUUUUUACAUUUGUAUGUUAUCAUGACCAUUCAUCUGAUCUUCUUUUAUUUAUUUAUCAUACAAAAACUCUAUAAUAUAAUUAAUAUAAUUAUAAUUUAUUUUAAUAACAAGUAUAAAUACUACAAUUGUACACCUAUAUUUUUGUACAAUUUGUACAAUAUCAUAUUCAUAGGGACAUUUUACAAUAUCAAUAUCAUACAAUUGUCCAUACUUUCAAUUUAUUUACUAAUAAAAAUCUCCUAAUAUAAUAUAUUUAAUUAGUAAUUAUCUUUUACUUAAUUUUAAGUAAAUACAUAAAUAUAAUACAAAUGUAUAUAUUCACAUUAUUACAAUGUCCACUAUCUUCUAAUUGUUCAUUACACAAAAAAUCGCACAAUUUAAUUAUUUUUAUCUAAUAAAUAUCUUUACUAAUUAAAUAAAUAUCACAAUAUAUAAUAUAUUUCUAUUAAUACACUUGUAUUAAAUCACUACCAUACAUUGUCUUUUUUAAACUUAUUUCAUAAUAUAAUAAUAAUAAUAAUAAUAAUCUAAAUUAAAUCAUAAAAAAAAUCUUUAGAUUUUUACAUUGCUUUGCCACCUCAUUUAUGCUAAAUGGCCUAAUUCCCUUUUAGUCCUUUUUAUUUUCUUUUAAUCUAUAAUUAGACUUUUACCAUUUAUUCAAUUUAAUCUUUAUACCUAAUUAACCUCUAUUCACCUAUCCACAAUCUAAUUAACCUCACAAUUAACUUCGUAAAUAUUUUUAAUAAAUAUUUACGAAUUCAUUUUUCAGAAACGGAGACCCAAAAAUACAUUUUUCUGAUAACCGUAAAAUUCGGGUCGUUACAAGUAAUGUGUUUAUAUAAGCUAUAUAAGCUUAGAAUAACUAACCUGAAACUGUUUACUGACUUGCUUAACUGACUAACAACCUGCUAACUAUAUGAUCCUUAACAGAUGCAGACACAGGACAAUAUUAUGGUGGUAACUAUGCUCUGGGCUGCAGCAGCUUUGAUGGGUGUGGUAGCUAUUAUCGAUGUUGUCGUUCAUUAUCGACUUAAACGUAAGGGAGAAGAUGGCUAUGAAGCAAUUGGGAUGUGAACGUGCUCUUAUGAGCUCUACUCUGUAAUGCACCUAAGAGUUCCAGUAGCUUUGUUGUCAAAAUUAGUGGUAUGUUCUAUAUUUGAGUAACAUUUGAACAUUACAUUCAUAUGAUAUAGGCUUAUGGAAGAAGCCAUUUUACAGAUAAAAUUGAAAGAUAUAAAUCAUGGUUAAGGUAUUUCAGUUGUCCAAAAUACGAUCUGGCAAUGGCUCAUCUCUUUCUGUGGCUUUUGCAUAUACAAAUACUGUUGCAAAAAGUAAAUAAGAAAAAAUAAAAAUAACAUUCGUAAAAGACAUCAAUUAGGGUGGUUUAAAUACAAAAGCAAGUAUGCUAUGCCAAAAAUAAUAGAUUCUUCUUAAACAUUUUUACGUUGUGUUGUAAAAGACAAUUUUAUAAUAAGUUUUGUUUUUAUAGUAUAACUUUACACGUACAAAAAUUAUGUUUUUACUAAUAAUUAUAAUUUAUUAGAUAUUUUUAAAUAAUAAAUAUUAUUUUUUAUUCACAUUAUAAAUUAUCAACAAUUCUUCUUUAGCUUAAAAUAUUGGAACAAAUAGUAUGCAUACAAAAUAGUAUCUAUCGAUUUGAUCUACGAAAGUAAUUCAAACUUCUAAUAAUGUUGGUGUCUGAAUAUUAAACUACAACUCUUAGUAUUAGAAGUGAAGACACACCGCACAUUAUAUUUAUAUAUAUUUCUAUCAAAGAUUGUUCACUUUUAGCACUAUUAUGUCGAUGUGCUUAUCUUGUCCAUAAGAAACAUUUACAAGAGAGGUUCCACUUUUGUUUAUUGAAGCAACACUUCUUAUGUUAAUAUAGGUAGGAAGGGUUCCUUUAUCGUCUCCAUUGUCUUAGUAUUUAAAGCAUAGUAAUAAAUUUCAUUAAAAGUAUUCAAACUCGUCCUCUAUAUGUGAUGGAAUGCAUUAGUUUUUAUUAAACUUGUUUUAGAUGAAUUUUUACUAAUGUAUCGUAUAAACAAAAUGAUAAUUUAUUUUUUAUCCAUUGAUUACUAAUUAAAAUUUAAAUUCUGUCUAAUAAUAUGAUCAAAACUAAUUUUAAUUGAUGAAACAAAAUUAUUUGCUAUCUGAUCACACUCAUUACCUUACAUUACAGAUUGAAUCUUUAAUAUAUAAUUAAUUCACAAGCUAACAUGUUUAAAUUUCUAUUUUACAACAUGUUCUUGGAAAUGCUCUGGCCACAACUUUAAAUUCCAUUAAUAUAGUUUUUAACCGUUCUAUUUCCAUAACUUAAAUUUAACUUGUAGUUGAAUAAAUUAAUAAAGAAGCCAAUUCUUUAAGAUUAAGAAAUAAUCCAAUGACUUUUCUUUUAACAAAAUAGCUAAAUUUAUUAGCUUAUAUAAUUUCACAAAUUAUACCAAAUCGUACUAACACUACGGUGGUAUAUAUAUAUAUUAUUUCUAUUAAGAAACCAACACACCCAUCACGUGCAAAUUCUUUUACUAAAAGAAUUAUUUAAUUCAAUAAUCAAGAUAAUAUAUAUUAUAUCAUUAUGUUCAUUUAUUAAUAUUUUCACUAUUUGUAAGAUCCUUGAUAUUAUUGACAUAGGAAGUCUCCAACUAUUCACCCUACUAACAUAACAACUCUUUGAAAUAUUGAAAAUUUAUUUAUUUAUCAACUUAAGAUAAGAACGUAUAACCAUUCUCGAAACAAAACGUCAAUAUUUAUAAUAUAAAACUAUAUUUAUAUUGUAACAAUUGACACAUCAAUAUUUUUACCAAUAGACACUUUUUUUCUUAUAACGAAUACACCACACAAUCAUAUUUAUUUGACGUUUAAUCAGUUGUAACAAAACAAUAAAUAAAUAUAUUGUUUAGUAAUUAUUCCAACAGAAGGACAACUCCUUGCUUAUAAAUUUUCAAUUCGAUAUACUUUGUCAUAUCCUAUUUGUUCAAAGUUCACCUAGCAAAUUAUAUAUAUAAUUUAUCAACGUAUCUAUCAAUUUAACCGACUCAAACUAAUAGUAGCAAGAUUAGACAUAUAUUAUAGAAUAGUGGUUAUAAGACAAAUAUUUAUUUACUGACGACAACAAACAUCUCCAUAAGCAUAAAAAUUAUUGAUAAAAGUUUAGCGGUGAAAUGGGAUAUUGCAACGAAAUAUAUGUCAUUGUUAUAGUAGUCGUUAAGGAAUUAGAAUUUUAGUCUCAUAAUUACUGUGAUUUUAGGCAAUUUUUUUUGCUUCAAAUUUGUUUAAAUCAACCUAGUUCUAGAAAGAUAAGAAUUUUUACGAAAAUUUUUUAAGGCACUAAAAAAAUAGUGUAAGCAACUCAAAACGAAAGAAACUUGGAAAGCUACAAGAAAGUAAUACACACAAUGUGUUUGAGUAAAUGCUCUUAACAUAUUCUUUAAUUGAAAAAUUUUCAUCAACGACUGAAAUUAGUACCUCUAUAAGAUGAGAGUCCUAAGGAUUUAAACUCUAUAAAAUCUUUAUCUUUUAGAAUUUGCAAUAAUUACUUUGGUAAGUUUAGUUUUAUUAGAGUGUUUCACUAGGCCACUAACACUUUAAAUAGAUAGACUUUUUCAUCUAUUCCACGAAUCGGACCAGUUUAAGUGGAACAAAUAAAUCUCAUUUAAUCUGUUGAUCUCCAUGGGACGCUUUGUGUACAUUCAUCAUAGGUUGUGAUCAGCAGCCUGUGAAGUCACUAUAACAAUGUCAUAUUUUUCGUUGCAAUAUGCUAUUUGACCACUAGACUUUUAUAAAUAAUUUUUAUGUUUAUGGAGACAUUUUUAUCCAUUAGUAAAGGUGAAACUAGGGGGCUAACAAGGGGCCCCGGUCCCCCUUAAAAUAGAAAAUUUUUCAUUUAGGUUGUAACACCCAUAUACUCAGUCUGACAAUAUGGACCCGAUAUAAGACUAUUACAUUUGGUGUCAAAGCGGUUUUGGCUAGACACUAUAUAAUUUAAACAUUUACCCCAUAGUGUAUUAACUUAUUUAACCCAAAAAUUAUUAAUAUAAACAUCUGAGAUCAUUGAUGGAUGAUCCAUUGCAUUUGGAAAUGAUUUAAAAAUUAUUUUUACUCAAAACAGAGGCAAAGUAUAGAUACUUAAACAAAAUGUAUCGAUACCUUAUAAAAGGUAUCUAUACCACUACACAAAAUCAAUACCAAAAUAGCAUUUUGUAACUCCAAAAAUUGUAUUCUUGAUGAAGGUAUCGCUACUUGAGGCCUAGGUAUCGAUACCUAGCCUUCAAUAUCGAUACCAACAUAAAAAACGAUACCAAAAUUAUAUUUUGUUUUAGAAAUUUUAAGUUUCAAAGCCUAGGUAUAGGUAUGCAUCGGUACUUUAAGUAAAUUUUGAUAAAACUCAGCUGAAAAUUUUGCUAAAAAUCCCCUGUAAAAUUUUUAACUCUUUAUAACACUUAAAACCAUUUCAAAAUGCCUUCAAGCUAUCUAAAACAACUCCGAAUCAACCAAAUUAUCGCAUUUUCAACCACAAACGCAAGCAUACAUAUAGCCAUCAACAAUUCAUUUUAUGUAGAAUCAAAAUACUUCAGUUUAAAAUACCAAAAUAGAUAAAGUUUAAAGAGUUUGCAUUUUAGUCCAUAACACUUGGGAACACAUUUGGACUACCUAUGUACAUGCCAUUUUAACUCAAAAUGUAGUACCUACAUUCGUUGCCUUUGAAGAUGUGAUGAGAUGAAAUGACUCCUAACUCUAGUUUAGCUCUUCACGUCUAACUGUACCUAUGCGUUGAAAUAAACGCGUUAUGCCGGUGAAGACUUAGUAUGCACUACAAGAAUAAAUAGGUAAAUGAAUCAUAACAUAAUGUUUAAUCUUAUUCAAUUAAUACAUACUUACACACAUACAAAUUUCUACAACUAUACCUUAAUUUAACAAAAUUCAACCUACCUUUGAAAUGUAUUAAACUUACCUCAAAACUCUGAUGAUUCACUUUUGUUUACAUUUCAUAUCCUUAGCCCAUAGUUGACUUUUAUAGAACAUACCAGAUAUACGGAACAAAUACAGAGGAGCAUUAUUAUGCACUAAUGAACAGAGAGCACUAAGGUGAUAUACAAAGAGCACGAAUGUGCUAAUAAUUGGAGAGCACGUUAAAGUCCCUUAAUGGCAUGCCACUAAUAUCCUAGUAGUUUUACAUUCUGUCUACUUGGGCAUUAAAAUCGGAUUUAGUACAAUUUCUCAUAAUAAUUAUAUUGUAACACCCCUAACCCGUAUCCGUUACCAGAACAGGGUUACGGAGCAUUACCGAAAUAAACAGAUCAAAUACAGACAUUUUAUAUCAUUUCUCAUUUAUAUUAGAAAUCAAUCAUAUUUUCCAUUAUAUGAGCCUUCAGGGCCUAAAAUAUGGAAUAGAAAUAAGUCGAGACUAAUCAAGGUACUCAGAGAAUUUUUCGUGAAAUUUUAAAAUUUUUCCUAGGUGUAGGGCACACACAGAUCUUAUUCACAUAUAAAAAGCAUAAGACUAAUUGAAUAUUAAAUAUUAAACAUUAAAUGUACAUUAUUAGUCAUACUGCAAAUACGAAUCAUAACUCAAAACUGUCUGAAUCCCUAUCAAUCAUAGAAUUAUGUUUGCACAUUAAUAAGCAUACCUAAAAGUCAUACAUAACAUGUUUGGCUAUAUAAAUAUAUACACAAAUCAUAUGCUCAUUAUUAAAAUAAUAUUUGAAUACUUAAUAAAUAAUCAAACAUUUUAACUUCAUAAUUAUACACAUACAAUUAAAAGACCAAACAAAUCAUAUCACAAAACUUUAUGUCCAAUAUCAUAUGCCGCAUUGGUCAUGGUCAUACAUUUACAUAUAAUUCAUUUAAGCAAAUAUGAUUUAAGACUGAUCUUACCUCUUUUCUAGUCACAAAACCAUGCGCAUAUGACCAUAUUAAUUUAAACCAUUUUGAGAACAAAUAACAACUACGAGUACACUCAAUUCACAUGCCAAUUUACCAUACCUAAAUUACAAAUGUAUAACCAAAACACCAACCAAAUUUUAACCAUAAUUCUCGUCCAACUUUAGCCAUUAACUAUGUACCAAAGUAACCAUAAGCUUCUCCAUUAAUUCACAUCCAUUUUACUAUUAUACCAAUCACCAUUUUCGAUCACAAUUAAUAAGUUCAUAAUAUAUUUAGCUUACUAGCAUACUAUUUUAACAUACACGACAUAUAAGACAUGUACAUUUAUACAUAUAUAAUACAUAUAAAAGGGACUUUAAAACUAAAAUAAAUAUACAUCUUUUAUUAUUACAACUUUAUGCAUAUAAGACCAUAUCUAUUUGGGCUAUUUUCGAACUCCUAUACUCUAACAAUACAUGCCAAAAACUAAUUUUUCAUACCCAUCAACUUGAACCUAAAUCCAUAGCCGAAUACUCACGUACAUAUUAUCUAUUAUUUCCAUCACAUAAAUCAUGCCAUAAAAUGCUUUUAAAACAACUUACCAUCAUAGCCAAAUAUACAUUUAAUGAACAUUACUCCUUUACCAAAUCAAUUAAUAACUAUCACAAAUACAAAACAUAUCAAUAUGUCAAACUCAUUACCUCACCUAUUUAGUCAAGCCGAAUAAUACAAUCAUUCACACUUAAUCUAUCCCAUUAUCUAAUUUUUAUCUAAAAUGAACUAACCAUAAUACCGAUUGUAUAUUAUACCUAGCAUUUCUCAUUGCCAAAUCACAAAACCAAACACCACAAGCAUAUUCACCAUAAAACAUAUCUCCAAAAUGAGUUGAAAACACAACCAAAUAAACACAAACAUUGGCAUUAUGCUCAAGCCAUUUUCACAUGGCUAAAUAUAUAUACAUACUUCAAGUUCAAACAUACUAUCUAGUCUAUAAAUGCCAUAAGUUCAAAGUUCAAACUUAUAGAAUACCGAAAAUCGAUCGAUAGUGUGACGGAUUUCCUUGACAAUCCCCGAGCUCGUAACCAGCUUCCAAAAUCUAUAAAACAUUAAACAAACACACACUGUAAGCUUGAAUAACUUAGUAAGUCAUAAGCAAAUAAUUCAUCAAAUAAACAUUAGCAUUGAAAUCUACUAGGCCGAAUAUGAACAAUCUCAAAAAAACGUAUAUAAUUCACUCUUGUAUUAAACAUAUUUCAUAUCUUCAUUACAAGUACUUUACUUACCUUAAUUUCAUAAUCAUUUACCUUCAUACGUACCUGAACCAUUUAGUUCGUCUUCACAUUCGAUCCUAACUCGAUUUUGCUCGUUGAACCAUUCGGAAUUAAUAAGGAUACUCGAAUAGUCAAAAAGCUCUUACAACGCCAACAUCCCAGACAUGGUCUUACAUGUAAUCACAUAUCAGUACCACUAUCCCAGACAAGGUCUUACACGGACUCAUAUACGAUGCCAAUGUCCUAAACAUGGUCUUACACGUAAAUUAAAAAUCGAUGUCAACGUCUCAGACGUGGUCUUACACGAAAUCACAUAUCAAAAUCCUAUGUCGUGACAUAUGUAUCCUAACUAUUCCUAAGGUUCAUAUAGGGCUUUCGAACAUCGAAACUCGAUUAAUUUAAGCUCGUAAAUAUUGCUCCUAUGUUUAAUUCAAUUCGGCAUAUACAUAUACACAAAUAAUAAUUCAAUUUGGCACUAUUAAAAUAUAUACAAUCGAAUUUAACGAGAUUUAUUUACUUAUGAACUUACCUCGUACGAAGACGAAUAGACCGAGUUGACUAUUCAUCAACUUUAGAUUUCCCCUGAUCCAAAUCUGAUUUUCUCUUUUCUUAAUCUAAAUUAAUAUAAAUUAAACUUAUAUAAUAAAAUAUUCAAUCAAAUUCAUCCAAAAACACAUAAAUGGGAAAAUUACACUUUUGCCCCUAACAUUUCAUUUUUUCACAAUUUAGUCCUUAUUUCACAAAACACAAAAUAUUCAAAAUUUGAAUACACCCAUAAUAGGCCGAAUUUACCCCUAGUCCAUAUAAGCCCAUAUGUUUCAUUUAUUUCACAUUUUGACCCCUCAAUUUGCAAAAUUUAUAAUUUAAUCAUAAACAGACAUUUUUAUCAAAAAUCACUUAAUUAAACUUGACAAUCUAACAACAUAUAUUUAUUUUUCAUUAUCAAACAUAAAAAAAAUCAUCAAGUUAUCAACAAUGGCAAUUCAUGAAUACAUCAUCAAAUUCAAAAAUUCAAGUAUGGGCUAGCUAGUACUCAAAGCAACGAUCUCAAAAAUGUAAAAAUUAUCAAAAACCGAACAAAUUACAUACCUAAUUUGAAUAACACAAGGGCCAAACCUUUAAAACUCUUUUCUUUCUCUUUUUAUUUGUUAUAUUCGGCCAAAAGAUGAACAUUUGCAUGGCUAUUUUAAUUUUUGUUUUCUUAUAACAUUAUUAAUUAGCAUUUUUACCAUAUUAACCUUUUAAAAUUAAUAACCAAACUAUAUAUUUCAUGUCUAAUACCGUCCAUGCAUGAUUUCAAGGGUGUAAUUUCAUCUUAAGGACUCCAUAUCAUAAAAGAAAUAGCUAUGUAGCACUUUAAUAAUUAGCUAGCCACUUUUACAUUUUACGCGAUUAAGUCCUUUUAAUUAAAUCGAGCACAUAAACAAUAAAAAUUUCACACGAAAUUUUCACACAUAUCAAUUCACAUAUAAUAAACAUCAAAAAUAAUAUUAAAAUAUUUUUCUGACUCGGAUUUGUAGUCCCUAAACCACUAUUCUAAUUAGGGUCUAAACUAGGCUGUUACAGUGUAGCUCACACGGUUGAGAGACACGCCCAUGUCACAGGCCGUGUGAACAUUCGAAAUAGGGACACACGGCCGUGCCCCAGCCUCUAUCUAAAUUAGGGUGGUUACUGGCUUGGGUUACACGGUCAAGCCACACGCCCAUGUACUAGGCCGUGUGAACAUUUUAAUUUAUAUUAAACUGGUGCAAGGGCUACAUGGCCAAGUCACACGCCCGUGUGCCAAGCCGUGUGCCACAUGCAGUUGAGACACACGCCCGUGUCUCUACCUGUGUAAAAAUACCUGAGCAUUCUGUUUUGCAAUUAAAAAGAUGCAGGGGACACACGGCCAAGAUACAAGUCCAUGUGCUAGGCCGUGUGUCACACACGGCUGAAACACAUGCCCUUGUCUCUGUCCGUAUGGACAAAAUAAGGUCAUUUCCAAUCCUUAUUUCUCACCCAAACUUGUCUUCCACCUACAUUAACACUUAAACACAAUCUCAAGCCAAUUUCUAAUUUUCAAGUCAAGCCAAAAACUAAGUCCUAUGCAUGAUAUAUUAUCACAUUUAUUCAAGUAUUCAACUUACCAAGUUGAACAUAUAAUCAUUUAAGCAUGUUCAUAACUAAUAUACCAAUCCAACCAAUUCAAGCACAUACAUACCAAACAUAAUAUAGUCUCAUAAAUAUAUAUUCAUCAAAACAUGUCAUCACUAGCCAUUCCAAUGGCUAAUUACAACCAAAACAUUCAUUUAUCAACAUUAGUCCAUUAACCUAUACAUGCUAUUAUGCCCAAAGAAAAUUUUGCUAUUUAUACCAAAAUGAGCCAAUAGAUAGUGUGAUGUAUCUCUGACCAACUUCCAACUUUCACGAGUUUCCAAGUACUAUAAAACAAAGGAAAUAGAACAAAAUAAGCAUUUGAUGCUUAGUAAGUUCGUAUAACAGGAAAUUAACUUACCAUUUAUUUACAUUUAAAUUAAGCAUGCAAAAAUUCAUCUAAAGAAAUUUUGCAAUAAGCCUAAUCACAUAUAAUCUCAAGAAACUUGUUAGUCAUACAUUUCAUGUAAACAUCAAGAAUCAAGGAUGAGCUCAUCAUGUAAUAAUUUUCAUAUACAUAGCUUUUCCAUAAUAAUUCAUCUCAAGUUUAGAUUAUUCCAUAUUAGAACUUUACUUGUUGAAUUUAUUAGAAAUAUCGAUGGAUACACAGGUAAUACACUUGAAGUGUACAUACUAUAAUCUGUCAAUUCAUAUUCAAGAGUGCUUAUUAAAGCACAUAAUCGGGAAGUACUCUCUCAAGCCAUAUAACGGGAAGCUCAUGUAAACCAUGUAAUGGGAAGCUUUUUCAAGCUGUAUAAAAUAAACUGUAUAACGGGAAGCUCAUAAGAGCCAUAAUCAGGAAGCUUAUGCGAGCCAAUAACAGGUAGCUCCAAAGAACCUCGGAAAGCUCCGGAUAGCCAUAUAUAGGGAAGUUCAAGCCAGCCAUAUCGGGAAGCUCCGAAGAGCCAUUAACAGGAAUCUUACAAAGAGCCAUUAACAGGAAUCUCACAAAGAGCCAUAUAAAGGGAUGCUUAUAAGAGCUGCGGCGUGUCCAUAACACAUGCAGGAUCACAACCGAUCAGAAUGCUCCAAAGAGCUAUUAACGGGAAGCUUACAAGAACCAUAUAACGGGAAGCUCGAGAAGGCUAAUAACGAGACGCUCUUUCGUGCUAUGGUGUGUCCGCAACAUAUACAUGACCACAACCAAUUCGGGAACCUUGUAUCUAUUGAAUUUCAUUUAUUCAAUCAAGACUUAAUACUUGCCAAGCAUUAUCAGAUAUGUGAUCGAUUUUCAUACAUCUAAAUUAUACAAUACAGAUACAUAACAUUCAAUUUAAACAUAUAAAUGUACACAAUUUAGUUACACGAACUUACCUUGACAAACGUUCAUGUAUUUGAAAUCUACUAAUUCGACACUUUUUUUUUCCACGAUUUAACUUUGUAUUUGAGUUUAUCCAGAUCUAAACGAAUAAAUUUAACUCAAUUUAAUAUAAUUCAUAAUCAAUUCAAUUCAAUUCACAUCCUAGGAAAAAUUACCAUUUUUCCCCUAUACUUUUAAUUAAUAAUGAUUUCGUCCCUAGGCUCGGAAAAUAAAAUUCUUACAAUUUAAUCAUUAUUCGAAGCUUAACUAAUUUUUACAUAUAACAUUUCCACCCCAUAUAUUUCACAAAAAUCAAAACUUUUCCAUAAAUUUUACAUCUUUUCAAUUUAGUCCCUAAAUCACAAUUUCAUGAAAAUUCACUUUACAAAAGUUAUUUAUCUAUCAACAAUCUUUCAUUUUCUACCAUAAAUUUCAUAAUUCAUGCAUAUUCAUCCAUGAAAAAACUUUAAUAAUUUGAUAACUUUGCAAAUUAGUUCCCAAAUAGCUAGAUUAGAUUAUUACGAUCUCGGAAAUAUAAAAAUUAUAAAAAUGGGAUAAGAAUGCUUACCCAAUUAAGCUUGCUUGAAUUCUUUUCUCUUAGCUAGGGUUUCCAUGAAAAUAAUUUGGGAAAGAUGAUGAAGUAAGAUGAUAUUUUGUCUUUUAAUUAAUUAUCAUCUUUUAUUUUUUUUCACUUUCCAAUUUAGUCCUUUUCUUUUCUUAAAUUUCCAUGGAUGAAUCAUCAAACUUAUCUACUAACUCCUCUUAAUGGUUUAUUUGUCAUAUAAUGACCUCAAAUUUUGAAUUCCAUAGCUAUUUGAUCUUUUUAGCUAUUAGAAUUUAACUUUUUCAUUUUAUGCAAUUUGGUCAUUUUCUCAAUUAAUCAUGAAAUCGAUAAAAUUUUCUUAAAAAAAUUUUUAUUCGACAUUCCUAUUAUACGAUAGACCAUAAAAUAAUAUUAAAAUAAAUUUUCUUUUGAACUCGAAUUUGUGGUCCCAAAACCACUAUUCCGAUUUCACUGAAAACGGGCUAUUACAUAUAUGUCUUGAAAUUUUUUUCACAUUUUUCCUAUUUCACAAUUUAGUACUUAAUAAAUAAGUCACAUGUAUAACAUCUUUUUCACACAUAUAUUUCUUUCACAACAUUAUUACUUAGUAUUCAAAUAAAUAUACUAUUUCAUAUUCUUCCCCUAUAAUUCUAUUUACAAAUCUCGUGAUUUUAUAAUUUAACCCUUUAUUUAAUAUCUAUUUAUAAAUAUAUAUAAAAUAUUUCUAUCCUAAGAAAUUUCAUAUUACAACAUAAGCAUUUAAAUAAAAUAAAAUAAAAUCUUAUAGUACUUACAACAAAAUGAUUGAGAUGAUGUAUUUUCUUUUCUUCUCACUCCUUGGCCUUUUCUUUCCCUUUUUCUUCAACUUGAUCCUUUCCCUUCCUUUCUUUCUCUUCAAUUUUAUAUAAAACAUAUAUCAUUUAUAAGUUAAAACUAAUAUCAUAUAACUUUUCUAUGUUAGUUAAUGAAAAUAAAUAUGUAUGACAUGAUAAUCUCAUCAUGUCUUACCUUAACUCCUUGAAAACCCAAAACUCUAGCUUGUGCUUUCUCUCUUUUAACACACUUAUGGAAGUUUUCUCAUGAGAUUAAGAUGCUCAUUAGCCUUCUUUAUAGUGGCGGAGCCAAUGGGGGAUUGGCAAGGGCCCUGGCCCCCUCCCCAAAAUGAAAAUUGUCCAUUUAGGCAUUUUAUAAUUUAUAAAAUUUUAAAUUAGUAAUUAUAAAAAUACACUUUGGCCCCCAAAAAUGAUAAAAAAUUGAUUUAAUCCUUUAAAAAUUAUAAAGAUAUAGACUAUUAAAAUAGUGAAAUUACAUUUUCACUAUCAUAAAAAUAUAUAAUUUAAUUCCGAACCACCACCUCAAAAAAAUUUCUAGCUCCGCCACUACUUCUUUAUAGUUUUUACUAAAGAAAUUUCGAAGAAAAAGGUUUUGAGCUUGAGAACGAUACAAAGGGAAAUAAAAGAAAAGUUUGAUAGAAACUUGGGGGGGGGGGGGUGAGUGAUGGUAGGCUUGGUGAAAAGAUGACAACUUUUCAUUUUUUCUCCAUUUUUACACCAUUUCAUAAAAAUAUCUCAUCUUUUUUGUAUUGAAAAAGGUCAAAUUGUUAAUAGGUCCUUAAGUCAUUCGUCUUUUCACUUUAGCCCUAAUUAUUGUCUAAAAAUAUCUACUUGGCUAAUUAUCAUCUUAUCCUUCUUCAUCUUUUAUAAUUCCUAGGACGACUCAUAUCUCACCCUGGUUAAAUUUAUUCUUAAUCCUUCCUUUCUUUCCACCACUACUAUGUAUCUCCUAACUUUUUAUUUUUCCUUAUUUGGCCACAACAAAUUCUCUAUUCUUUUAAUUAAAUCAAUACUUUUAAUCUCCUACUCGGUCAAAAUACUUCCUAAUUAGAUACUCAAAAUUCCUAUUUGUUCUAUUUCAAAAAUUUUGCACUAAUUUCUGAUCCGAUCCAUUACUGUACUUAACUUCGAGUUAAAAUGCGAAUGUUACGUAGGCCCUUUAAAAUUUUUAAAAUUUUAAAUUAAUAAAAGUAAAAUUACACUUUGUCCCCCUAAAAAUAUAAAAAUUUGAUUUAAUCCUUUAAAAAUUAUAAAAAUAUAAAUUAUUAAAAUAGUGAAAUUAUAUUUUUAUCAUCAUAAAAAUUAUAAUUUAAUUUCGACCCCUACUUUUUUUUAAUUUCACCCCUAUCAAUCGGUAAAUAAAUAUUUAUCUCAUAACCACUAUUCUAUAAUUUAUGUAUAAUCUUGCUACUACCGUUUGGAGUUGGUUAAUAGGAUUAUAAACUAAUUUAGUUAUCUUGGUUAUAUAUGAAAACUUCAAAUAAAUAUUAAAAAAGAAAAUCAUCCGAAAAACUAUUAUCUUGAUAAUAGUCCAAUUAUCCCAAAUCGUCAUGGCUAAAUCAUCCGAAAAACUUUAAAUAAAUAUUAAAAAAGAAAAUCAAAUUAUUGGCGUCAUAACUCAUAGCUUAUGUUUGCAUUUUGUUACGUACAAUUUCCCAAUUUCCCAAUUUCCCAUUCCCAUCCCAUAUCGAUGUGUAUGAUAUUCAACUUAAAUAUGUGAAGAGAAACGAGUGGCUCGUGGGGUAGUGGCUGAAGGGCAAGUAGCAGUAAACUCAGAACGCUUUGGUAAGCUUUGUUUUGUUUGAUCGUCCCUAUUUGUUUCCAGGUUUUCUGAAGAUUUGCAGCUUUAAAUUUUGUUUUCCUUCUUUGGGUUUUCUUUUUCAUUUGGAUUGAUUUCAUGUAUGGAUUUGGUAGUUGCCCUUGUCUGUAUUUCUUCCCCCCAAUUGCACUUACUCGUAAUUUGCUGAAAUCCCCAGUGGAAUUUUCCAGUUUGGGUGGUUGAUUUCGUUUUCAUUAAUAGUAUACACACAGGCAUACUGAUUCAAAAAUAUUGCUUUCAAAAUUGUUCCUCAGAACUAUCAAAAUAAACUGGGUGAAGAUGAAUAGUUAUCAACUGACUAUUUUAAAAUUUUUUUAUUGCAAUGAACUGUUGCCAAAAACUAUGUUGCUUCUGUACUUAGAUAUUUAGGUCGGAUACAUGUAUAUAUCUGGUACGAAUGAUUACAUCACGGGCACUGGUGACUACAACGUAAUCUUAUUAACUUGCUGAUAAUUCAUCCCCUCCCCCAUAGAACUAACUCUUUGUCUUGUUACAUUUAUUUUUUAGUUCAAAUACGUGAAAUAUAUAGUUAGCUUUGAAGAGAUUGUAUGGUUUGACUCAAGUUGUUGAAAUGACAGGGAAAUGGCAAGUUAUAAUUCGGGAUGGUUAAUUUUGGUUGGGAUUUUGGUGACGUUAAGUUUACCAUAUUCACAUGCCUUUUGGGGAAACGAAAAUAAGAUACAUACUGCUGUUUUCUUGUCACCCGAGUUCGUGCUCGGACCAGGAUCCGUGGAAAAUAGGUUCUAUUUCAAUGUCGACUUUCCGAAAGGUCAUAUUGCCUUGAAAAGUUUUGAUGCAGAAGUAAUUGAUGAGGCCGGGUAUCCUGUUCCACUGCACGAGACGUAACUGCAUCAUUGGGUUGUUGUUAGAUACUAUGUACAUAAAGGCGUGGAAAUAUCGAAGUUGGAUGACCUUAAAAAGCUUAACAGGUCGGACUAUAUUUCUGGGGGAAACAGUGGGAUUUGUCAGAAUGGAAUUCUUAGUCAGUUCUUUGGCCUCGGGUCUGAGACAGGGAAAACUUCAACUCAUAUUCCCGAUCCAUAUGGAAUAGAAGUAGGUAAUCCUGCUGAAGUUCCUUCAGGCUUUCAGGAGCAAUGGAUGCUUAAUGUUCAUGCAAUUGAUACAAGGGGUGCGGAAGACAAGUUGGGAUGUACAGAAUGUCGUUGUGAUCUGUAUAAUGUUACGGUCGAUGAAUAUGGAAGACCUUUGAGGCCAUACUAUAAAGGAGGAUUGUUAUGUUGUUACGAUCGUACACAAUGCAAGGUGAAACAUGGGUUUGAGGCUGUUAGAAGAACCCUUUACCUUAGAUACACUGUGAAGUGGAUUGAUAUGGAUAGGUCCGUCUUGCCUGUUAAAAUUUAUAUAUUUGAUAUCACUGAUAGUUGGAAAAGGACCCCUAGUUCAACGGAGAUUAAUGCAGAGCACAAGUGCAAGGUAGAUGAACUGUCUUGUUUAUGUGCUGCAACACCAUUUCUGUUUUGUCAAAAAAAAUUUCUAGUGAAAUCUCAUCAUUGAAUACAUUUGAUGCAGAUUGAAUAUGAUAUUGAAUCUUGUGAUGCCACUGGAUUGGGCAAUGAUGGAUGCAUCGACACCAAAAGGAUAAGCCUUGACAUGCCAUUUGGUGGUUAUCUCAUAUACGGUGUUGCACACCAACAUUCAGGUGGCACUGGUUCUGCUCUUUAUAGAGAGGUAUUGAAAUGUCUUAUUUCUGCGCAACACUUUUAUACCAUUAUAUAAUUUAUAUGUAUAUGUAUGUGUGCAUACAUGCGAUCUGAUGAUGACGAGCUGUGUCUGUUUGAUUUUGGUGAAUUUCAGGAUGGCCAACUUAUGUGUUCUUCAUUACCGACUUAUGGGGAAGGAGAAGAACGAGGAAACGAAGCUGGUUACAUUGUAGGAAUGACCACCUGCUAUCCUAAAACCGGAACUGUGGAGAUAUCUGAAGGGGAGACUUUGAUUUUGGAGUUCAAUUACAGUAGAAUCAGACAUCAUACUGGUGUCAUGGGGCUGUUCUACAUUUUGGUUGCAGAUGACUUGCCCAAGCCAAUGCAUAGCUUGCGCACUGUUGUUCAAGUAGGUUUCCAACUCCCAAAUGGUGAACAUUGACGAAGAAAAUCCAUUAGUCCAACCAGAUGAUCAUUCAUUAUUUCAAAUAUACAAAUGUUUAACUUCGAUGAAACCAAUAAUGUUUUAAUGAAACAAUCAUCUGAUGCAGACACAGGACAGUAUUAUGGUGGUAGCAAUCCUUUGGGCUGCGGCAGCUUUGAUUGGUGUGGUAGCUGUUAUCGCUCUUGUCGUUCAUUAUCAAUUUAAAUGCGAGGGAGAAGAUGGCUAUGAAGCAAUUGGGAUGUGAAGGUGCUCUUAUGAGCUACGCUCUGUAUUGCAUCUAAGAGUUCCAGUAACUUUGUUGUCAAAAUAGUGAUAUAUAUGUAUCAUAUAUAUUUUAGUUGUCAAAAUUGUUAAGAGUACAGCUGCAAAUCAGUUAGGCAGUUCAACUUGUUAGUAGGUUGUUACUAUUUGGUUAAUAGCAGUUAAGGUCAUGUACCUUAGUAUUAAUCAACAAUAAUCAAAUCAUGAAUAAUACACCAAAUGAUUCAGAAUACAAGUAUUCAAUUGUUACCAGUUUAGCUUUAAUAGUUUCUUUCAAAAAUAGUGAUAUGUAUUAUAUAUAUAUAUAUACAUACAUACAUACAUUAGCAACUUUUGAACGCUAUGUUCAGAUGAAUUGUGCAAAUCAUGCAGAAAAAAAUUUCUGGAAAAUCACGCGCAAAAUAAGGAGAGCAAAACAACGUUUUAUAAUUAAUGAAUUUAAAUAGUAGUCCAGUGGAUCUCAAUCGAGCUCCUGUAUCAGGAUUUUAAGCUCAAGUUCAGUUUGAAGUUCGGUUUACCUUUAAAAUUAUAAUUUUAGAAGAAUAUUUUAUAAUUUUAAAACAUCUAAUUUUAAAUUUUUUUUUUGAAACUUUUAGAACAUUUUGUGAUUUCAUAAAAAAAGCAUUUAAUGUAUUUUUUUUAAUAAUCUUAGCAUUAUUGUAACUUCAGAAUAAAUAUUUUUUAACUUUGUAAGAAAUAUUGAUUUUUUUAUAAUUUAUGAAUUCUUUUAAAAAAAUAUUGUUGGAUUACUGAGACAUAAGCUUUUUAAUAAUAAAAAAAUUUGAUGGGAAUAACAUUACAAACAAAAUGAAAGUUUAUAGUGAGUGAAAAAAAAAAAUUAGUUCUCUUACUCGUUUUAAUAUAAACUAAAAUAUUUUUUAAAUAGUUCAAUAUUGUAACUUAUAAUUGUUAAUUGAUAAGUUACUUCCAAUAAGCAACUUUUAAAAUGAUUCACUUUUUAAAAUUUUAUUUGGAAAGAGUAAUCAUGUUUAACUAAUUAAUAGUCACGCCAUUAUUGAAUAAUGGAAAAAAAUUGAAAAUAUUUUAAUAGAUAAAAAUUAUAAUAAAAAUAUUUUAUAUUAUGUAGAUUUUAUAAAUUUUGAACGUAAAUGAAGUUGGAAUUUUUAAGUAUUAAAUUAUGAUUUUAGUGGAUAACAAUAAUUUAAUAUAUAAUUAUAAAUUUUUAACCUAAAAUAUUUUGUUUCAAUAUUAAGGUAAAUAAAUGUGCAUAAAGAUUAUUUAGUGUUAAAUUUUGAACAUAAAUCUAAUAAUAAUUGAUUUUAUUUUUAUUAAAAUCUUUAAUUAUUUUAAGAUUGAUAAAAGAAACAAACAAAUUAUUUCUUUUUAAAUAUUUUAAUUCAAAUGUUAAAAUAAAUAAUAAUAAUUAAUUUUAGCCCAACACCAACCUCAACGGUUACAAAUCACUAAUAGUAAAAACUCCAAUUUACUUUCUCUAUCUAGCUCAUUCAAAUAGAUGUUUAGACAAGUGUGUAACUAUUCAAACAAAUGUUUGAACACAAGUUCAAACAAAACACAAGUAGUAAGCAAAUAAGAAAAUAAAGAAAUAAACAUAAGAGAUUUAUUAAUAUGGCUUUAAUGAUUUUUAUUCAUAAUAUUCUAAAUUAUCUAUUAAUUUAAGCCCAUUUAUUUAAAAAAAAUUAAAAAAUCAAAAAUUUCCAAGUGAAAGAUCACUUCAAGUAAAAAUUUCAAGUAAAUUGAAAAUUAUUUUACUAAAUAGAUUGGAGAAAUUGUGAACCUUUUAUUACUUUAUGAGAAUAAAAUUCAAAUUAGCUUAAGGGAUUUGGACCCUACUCCAUUACUUGAACUUAUUUGAGAAAUGAUUAAAAUAUUAAUAUGUUUACAAAUUAAAUUUAAAUUUAAACUUAAUUCUUUUAAUUUUAUUAUUUUAAACAAAAUUUAAUUUAAUUCAUUUAAAAAAUUAAUAAAUAUUUUCGUUCGUGUCAUAACGUAGUAUUAUUUAUUUGCUUAAAAUUCAUCUGAAACGUUUACAAUUCAUUUCCAGAAAAAUCAUGCAAAAGAAAACGUAUCGUAAUUAAAUGAAAAAAAAAAACCCUAAGAUUUCAUUAAUUAAAUUGAGAGUGUAGUCAGCCCAAAUUAUCAGGAUAUUAAACUCGAAUUUGAUCAAGGAUGGUAACAACACGGGUGAGCCAUUUUUAAGCUUAAAAACUCCUACUACUUUAUUUAUUUAUUUAUAUUAGUGUCAAAUUUUUAAAAUUAAAAUAUAUUUUAAGCCAUUUUUUAAAAUUAGUUUACUCACUCAUUCCUUUGUAUUAUUGAAUUAAAUAAAUCAUUAAUCAAUUUUCUAUCCUAAUUCAAUUGGUCUAUAUUAGUUCAUGGAUUAAUCAGUCUGAUGUCUUUUUUCGGAUUAAUACAUCGGUCAAAUUUCAGUUUGAUUGACUUGUUUGGUUCAAAGAAUCAUGACUCUAAAUUUCUACAAAACUUAGUUCUCUUAUUUUUAUUUUCAAUAAUUUAAUUCUCUAAUUUUUUAUUUAAAAAAUCACUUUUAAAUUAUAUAUAAUUACACAGUAUUUUAAUUGAGAAGUUAACGAAAUUAAAAAAUACAUGAAAAAAUCAAGUAAUAUAUUUCUAAAAUAUUUAAGCACAGAGCAGCUGGGGUGGUUGUGUUCCUGGAAGGCAAAGCCCAGAUAUUUUAAUUUUAUCCCGACUAAGUUAAUGCUCUCAAACUCCAUAAAAAAAAUAGAAUUUAAUUAAUUUUGAAUGUUUAAAGAGCUUUUGUGGGGAAUUUGAACCAUACUCUUUGUUCUACCUUCAAUAAUCUUGCACGUGUAUUUUCCCAAUUUCUCUUUCUCUCCCUUUCUUAGAACCGCCCUCUUUUUCCUUCCUUCAUUCAAUCCCGCUCUAUUAUUGUUUUCUUUGAUUGAAUUUGAUAUUUGGAACAGAAAAACAAAACACUGCAUUCAAACUACUUGGAAUUCAUCUCCAUUCUUUUUGAUUUUAUAAGCCUGUUCCUUUCGAAUUUAGACUCUAUUUUUCCUUCUUUUUUGACCUCCCUUACCCAAAAGAAAAGUCUACCUCUUUUAUUUCUCUCACUAAUUCCAGUCAAUUUUUUUGUAUCCUUUCCUUAAUUGAUUCUUGGGUAUAUUAUUUGUACCCCUUUUUUCAAAAAAAAAAAGCAGGAAAAAAAAAAUAAAGGUUACUUAUUUAUUUAUGUUGUUUGUUUCCGGUUUAAUAAAAAAACAGAUCUUCCCUUCGAAGCUCCAUGAUUGCAGAGAACAGUGCCGAGAUACAACAACAUUCACAGAAAAAUAAGUGAUUUUUGGAUUAAAGGUAAAUCAGAAACGUCAUCGUUUUGCUGUUUGUUGUUAUGCCUGGCGCAGCAGGGCAGGGCGUGGAACAUGUAGGCUUGCCUAAAAUGGAAGCGAAAUCCAAAGCUGGAUGUAGCAACGCCGUCAAAAAGAAGGGACCCGUCUCAAUGGAUCACGUUCUUUUGGCAUUACGCGAGACGAAGGAGGAAAGGGAUUUAAGGAUUCGGAGUUUGUUCAACUUUUUCGAUGCAGCCAAUGUGGGAUUCUUGGAUUACGGUCAGAUCGAAAAGGGUCUCUCGGCUUUGCAGAUUCCGGCCGAGUAUAAGUACGCCAACGAUCUGUUGAAAGUCUGCGAUGCAAACAGAGAUGGGCGCGUGGAUUAUCAAGAGUUUAAAAGGUAUAUGGAUGACAAAGAGCUUGAACUUUAUAGGAUUUUCCAAGCUAUUGAUGUGGAGCACAAUGGGUGCAUUUUGCCUGAGGAGCUUUGGGAUGCGCUUGUUAAGGCUGGUAUGCUAUGCUCCUUUUUUUUGUAGUAUUUUUUAUAUUAAUUUAUUUUUCUUGGUUUUGUUUUCUUUAUCUUGACAUGUUUGAUUGGUGUGGUGAGGUAGUUGCAUUAAUUGGGGUUGAUAGUGAAAUCAUUAUAAAGUUUGCUUAUAAAUUGAUAAAUUGUAUGUUGCUUUCAAUCUUCCUAUUGCCCCUUUUGCUCUAAAAACUUGCCAUCAUUGUGAGAUUGGAGAAAUUGCUUUUGCAGUGUUUUGUAAAUCAAACCGCAGUUUGGUACCUUUAAGGAAAGUAGAUAGCCUUAUUCAUCCAAAUGCAUUACUUCGGUUGGCAAUUUGAAUUCUUCCGGUAUGUUUGUGUUGUUGGGGAUAGGUUACAUUGCGAGUUGUGGGAAUGCGUUGUCUUGCUCAAAUUUCUAAACCGAAUUUGGAGUAACUUACAGUUAGGUGUUAGGAAGCUGCCUCUGCCGGUUUGUUAUGUAAAAGCCCAUGUUUGCAAUGGUGUAUCUUGGGACUGUUCAAAACCCGUCUAAUAUUAUGAGAGGUUAUAAAGCUUCACAUGCCCGAUGUGUUUGUCAUGGUGUUGAUAUAUUGAACUUUCAUAUUUUAGUUCUUAAAUCAACAGAAACAAAAAGAAGGUAGUUGGGAAUUUUUUAUUAUUAUUAUUUUGAUGUUCUCUUGUUCAAGUUUGUGUUCUUUUUCUUACAAAUUAUUCUGAGACAAAGUUUUGCUGAGCUGAAAUCUGAACGGUUUGUCCAUUCUAUUUUAAAGGAGCUUCUAAAGGGUGUUUUCUUUCCUCCAAAAUCUGUCAGACCAGAAUCUGCAUCUUUUUUUUUGUUUAUAUUUCCUUUAUGAAUGCAUCUGCAUUUGUUGAGGUGCCUCGGCAAAUCCUACAGUCUGGCCGGUAAGGAUCUAUGCAAGCUUUCAAGAGAGUUUGCCACCAUUUAAGGAAAGUGUUUGUCUGGCUUGAUAUCAAGAGAGUUUCUUGUCAGUAUAAAAGUUGUGUCAGUUUGUUUUUGCUGGAUGCUGAGGGGCUGGUUGUUUCCAUGGUUGUAAUAACAGUUGUUUUCAUCUUAUAAGCCCUGGCAGUUUGUAUUUUGCAGGGAUUUGUAUCGAUGAUGAGGAACUUGCACGAUUUGUAGAGCAUGUUGAUAAGGACAACAAUGGAAUUAUAACAUUUGAAGAAUGGAGAGAUUUCCUUCUACUUUAUCCUCAUGAAGCUACUAUGGAGAACAUCUAUCAUCAUUGGGAAAAGGUUUGCCUUGUAGAUAUCGGAGAAACAGCUGUUAUUCCCCAGGGCAUCAGUACACAUGUUAAGAGAAGCAAGUAUUUUAUUGCAGGAGGAAUAGCCGGAGCAGCUUCUCGCACUGCAACUGCUCCUCUCGAUCGCCUGAAGGUUGUUUUACAAGUGCAAACCACAAAUGCUGAUAUUCUACCAGCUGUAAGAAAAAUAUUGAAGGAAGAUGGUAUUUUGGGGUUUCUCCGUGGUAAUGGGUUAAAUGUUGUGAAAGUAGCUCCUGAAAGUGCUAUAAAGUUCUAUGCAUAUGAAAUGUUAAAGACUGUAAUAGGAGACAGUAGAGGGGAUAAGAAGGGUGAUAUAGGUGCUAGUGGGAGACUUUUUGCUGGUGGAGUAGCCGGUGCUGUGGCACAAUGUGCUAUCUACCCAAUGGAUCUCGUAAAAACUCGAUUACAGACUUGUGCUUCGGAAGGUGGAAAGCCUCCAAAGCUGGGGAAAUUAACUAAGGAUAUAUGGGUUCAAGAGGGUCCUCGAGCAUUUUAUAAAGGUCUUGUGCCAUCUCUUCUUGGGAUUAUCCCAUAUGCUGGCAUCGACCUUACUGUCUAUGAGACCUUGAAAGAUUUUUCGAGGUCAUAUAUUCUUCAAGAUAGUGGUAUUUAUACUAUCUGUCUCUCUUAUUUUAUGCUUGUUUUUUGCUCUUUUUCUUAUAUCUUCUUUUCGGGUUUUUCAUAUUUCAUUAAUUUGUGUGUUUCUUCUGAAUUUCUUACCCAAUUUGCUUUCUGAUGACUCUUUCUCCAUCUUAUAGAACCCGGUCCUCUUGUGCAACUAGGCUGUGGAACAAUUUCUGGAGCUUUAGGAGCAACAUGUGUUUAUCCUUUGCAGGUUAUUCGAACGAGGUAUGAUUAUAACAUGUAGAAAUUCUUUUUGUGGUCAUUCAGGUUCAUCCGUACAUCAUCGUAACUUGUUUCUUUUUUUGUUCUCACAGAAUGCAAGCUCAACGCACUACCUCAGGUGUUGCGUAUAAUGGAAUGUCUGACGUAUUCUGGAAAACCUUUCGGAAUGAAGGUUAUAGAGGUUUUUACAAAGGACUAUUUCCUAAUCUUCUCAAAGUUGUCCCAGCUGCAAGCAUUACAUAUUUGGUUUAUGAGGCUAUGAAAAAGAGUCUAGAACUUGACUAGAGUCCACUGAAGUUCUGCAGUCGGGUCUAGCUGCCUUAUAUUUAUCGCAGAACCGAAGUUAGAGUUGACGAAUACAAUGAUAAUAAGAUGAUUAAAUAAGUAAGAUGAUUAUUUUGAGUUAGGUGAUAACUCCCCUUCAGAGAAUGAGGUGCAUAGUUUUGUAGUAAAAUUUUUUUAGACCAGGUUUAUCAAAACGAAACGUUGAGAAUCGGGUUUAUAUGACAUAAUUAUGUCGGUCUUCGAAAUCAAUAGGUAUGAUACUGUUCAAUUUUUUCUUCUUUUGCCCCUCUUGUUCAAAUAUUGUUCAAGGCGGAUGCAGGAGAUGAAGGGGAUCUCUCAUCUCAUAGAAAUUGAUUUAUUGAAGUUAUAGGUUAUGAAAUGGAUUGAUCUGUAUUUGAUAUGCAUUCUAUUUGUUAAGAACAUAGCUUUUUCUUAAUGAUAUUGUUGACUAUAUAACUGAUUUUAUGGCUGUUUUAAUCACAAUUUUUUCCAUUUAACAUGAAAUCAGAUAUUGUUAGAUUUCAUGAAAAACACCCAACAUGCCCGGACGAGUCUGUUUAAUUUGUUUUGUUGAGGACGAGUAGUAGUUAAAGAGAAGCGAAGAGUUAGAGCAAGAAUUCAUGUCUUUUAUAAACGAAAGAGUGGAGAUUUUGUCUUGCACAUUAUAGCCGGCAUGAGUAUCUGCUAACUUAUGUAAGACUGAACUGACAAUUAACGAACCUGACGAUGUUUUGUAAGAUUUCAUGUUUUGAUGAAGAACAAUUUAUUCAUAAUCUGAAACAUUUCAAACCCACCCAUUUUGUCAGCUGAAAGAAAUUCAAGCAAUGAAGCACUAAUUAUUCAGAUGAAAUAGCAGACGUACAACCAACCAUUUUUGUUCAACAAACUUUGAGGGGAAAAAACAUAAAACAGCUUGGAACAACCAAUUAAUCUGCUACAAAUUUGGACUUUCUUCAUGUGUUUUAUGCUCAUUUUGAUCUGAACUCUGAUUGAAAACAACGAUGCAGAAAUGAAGAUAAAGACACAAUAAAGUAAAAAUAGAAAGAAAGGCAUGGCCUUCCCUUUGCCUCAAAUGACUUGCCUUUUAAGCCCCCUUUCAAAUCCUCUAUGAGGAGUAAGCAGAAGAGGGAUGGUUACUAAUGGUUGCAGUGUUCUUCUUCUUCUUCUUCUUUCUUCUCCACAUGUUUUUGGUCUCAAAGUUUGAGCUCAAAACUCAGACAGAAGAAACAAAAACAACUUAUUGCAUUGCAUUGCCAUUGUUUGUGCAACAACCUGUAUAUUUAUAUACACCUUUGAGAAGUGUUUAAACCUGUGUCAGAAGUCCAACAUUUCAGGUUUCUUUGGAUUUUAUUUUAUUUUUAAAAAAAAAAAGGAAAAAGAAUAAGAGGAAAAAAGACAAAGGAAAACAGAUCAAACCAAGGUGUCAAAUUUGCUGUGGUCCCCUUUGGUAUAAUUCCUUCAUUGGGUGAUCUUAUCUUCCACUAAGAAUAUUUACUUUUCUCUUGCUUUUGCAUAAAUCAUGGUGAGAACUUCAUGUUACAUGCAUAGCCUCCUUGGAUUUACUCUUUUCUUAUAUUAGUUUUGUUGAGGGUUUCAACUCUAGUAUUGUUGUUUUCUCUUAAUUUUGUUGAAAAUCUAAAUGCAUGAAGAGACAAAAAAAAUUUAUGAAGUAAAAAUAUCUCGUCAAGUACUUAUCACUUGUUGAAAGUACAAAACUUUGAUAAUGGUUUAUACAUAUUAAUCAGGUUUUUCACUUUUUUUUUAUGCUUCUACAUAUACCAGCUUAUUAUAAUUGUUCAUCACUAAACAUGAACAUAAUUUUUUUAAGUAAUGACUAGGAAAGAUAUAAAAGCAGCAAUAUCAUAAAAAAAAUGUAAAAUAUCAUAAAUAUAAAACACAUUUGAAAAAUAAUACAAAUACCAACUCAAACGGCCGGCCCAGUAAUUAAGCAAAUUUAUCUUUAUAUUCAUGUAGUGAGUUGAAAUGGCUAAAAUUAUAUGGUAGUAACGUGUGAGUUGUAUAAUAAUAUGUAAAAGAUAGCUGAGAAAAGGUUCUCUCUCCAAUGAAGAGGUCCAAAAAACAGACUGAAACCAUAAACAAAUGGAAAAGUUAGUUAAAGCAAAGUCAUGGCCAGAAAUGAAAGAAUAUGUAUAAAAAAAAUGUAAAUAUAUAAUAUACAAGUCUAAAGGGGAAAAGAAUAUUGAAGGAGAUAUGCCCUUUUACUUUGGACCGUCCACUUAUUAGUUUUAGUCUUACCCUAUCUUGGAAAAUGGUGAGAUCUGAGAAUCUUUGUGGAUUGGCACUAAUCCAAAAUUAGUGGAGAUUUUAACAAAUAACAUUUGAAAAUAUAAAACAACUUUUUUCCCUUCAUUAUUUAAUUCAUUUGGCUGGUUCCUUGGAUUAAUAAUUGAAGUUUGAAGAGCUUUGGAUAUAUUCUUUUUUUUCCUAAACUUAAUAGAGGUGGUAUAUAUUUUGUAACUACUCGAAUUUUAUGGUUAUUGGAAAAGUAUAUCAUCAGAUCUUUGUUUUUGGAAAAUGAAUUCAUAAAUAUUUAUUAAAAAUAUUUACGAAGUUAAUUGAGUGAUUAAUUAAGUUUUUGUGAGUGAAUUUAGCUUAAUUUAGAAUAAUUAAUUAAAAGAAUUAAAUUAAAUAAAAUGUAAAAGUUUAAUUAUAGAUUAAAAUAAAAUAAAGGGGAUUAAAUAUGAAAUUAUGUCUAUUUCAUUAGGUGAGCGUCAAAUGAGAAGAAAGAUUUUUCUUAGAUUAUAUAUUAUUAUUAAUUAUUAUUAUGGUUUUAUAUUAAAUUAUUAUUAUUAUUAAAUUAAUUAAGAUAGUAACAAAUGUAUGGUAAUGAUAAUAAACAUGUGUAAAAUACAUGAAAAUACACUUGCAAUAUAUUGGUAUAUUUUCUUAAGUAAUAAGUAAAAAAUAUUUAUUAAAUAUUAUUAUAUUAUGAAAUAAACUAAAUUGUGACAAAUGGAUGGUAAUGAUGAUAUACAAAAUAGUGAUAUAUAAGUGUACAUUUGUAAUAUAUCUAUUUAUUUACUAAAUAGAUAUUUAUUAUAAUAAUUAUUAUAUUAAAUUAUUAUAAAACUAACUAAAUAAAUAAAGAAACAAAGCAAAAGAAACAGAGAGCAUUUCGGAGGUAGAAGGAAAGAAAGGGAAAUUAGGGAUUUCAAGGUUCCAAGUUUAAGUCCUAACGUUGUUUCGAAAAAUCUCGGCUAAUAAAGGAAAAGGUAAAGCCAAUGAGGGUUAGUUCGAAAAUUACGGUUUGUAUUUUUAUAAUCCGAAUUUAAUUAUUAAUUGUUAUAUUUUAAUUUAAAUGUUUAUGGUAAGAAAAUUAAGGUAAGUGUAGUAUAUUUGAUAUUGAAUUGAGUGUUUAUGAAAUUAUAAUUUAUGUGAUAUUUGAGCAUUGGUAUUGAAUUUAAAUUGAAUUGGUAUUUAAUCCGAAUUUUAAUUAUUAAUUAUUAAUUAUUAAUUAUUAUAUUCUGGUUUAUAUGUUAUUGUAUGUAAUUAAGGUAAGUAUUAGUAAUUGUUAUUGAAUUGAAUUUAUAUGGAUAUAUGUGAUUGAUGUGAAAAUUGAAUAUUGGAUGUAUGUUAUAUUUGAAAAGUAUAUUGAUUGAGAAUGUGAUGAAUUAAUAUGAACAUGUGAUUAUUGUGAAAUUUGAAUAUUUAUUAUUGAAAAGUAAAGUGAAUUGUAUUGAAUUGAGAAUAUAUGUGAUUAAUUGAAAUGUGUAUUGGUUGAAAAAUUGAAAGUGAAUUGAAUACCCUAUUAAUAGUGUCGGACUAAGUCGGCUAUAGUUGGCAUGCCAUAGGAUUGGAAGUGUUCAGGAAUACUUCGACCUUGAGUCGAUGAGGCACUAUAAGUGUCGUACUAUUACUUCGACUUCGAGUCGAUGAGGCACAAUGUAUAUCUUACUGCUACUGUAACUUUGGUUUAAUCCGAUGAGGUACUGAGUACCAUACUGUUACUGUUUACUUCGGCAAAGCCGAUGAGGCACUGAGUGCGGUACUGGUGUGUUGGUUGGAUCUGUGUAUCCGUCAAUGUCCGAGUCAUGUUAAUAUGGGUAAAUAAAGGUACUGAAUGACUAAUUGUUACUGAAUGAUAUUGAUAAAUUGAUUGAUAUUGAAAAAUAUUGACUGAUAUUGAGCUUGGAAUAAAACGGAUUAUUGAUUGAAAUGUAAAUUGUUGAAUAUUAUAUGUUGAUAAUGAACAGUGAACUGAAACAUGAUUGAAACACAUGAAUUAUGUAACUCUAAAUGGGAUAUAAGUGAAUAAUAUUAUUGUUCAAAUGAAUUGUGAACAUAUUGUGGAAAAUUAUACAGGUUAGUAGAUGAAAGAAUUGAUUGAGUUUGUAACACCCCCUACCCGUAUCCGUCGCCGGAAUAGAGUACGAGGCUUUACCUAGGAGUACGAAACACUUACAGAUAAUUUAAAUAUGUUUUCAUAACAACUUGUUUCGAUUUCAUACUAUUUCAUAUUUAAGCUUUAUUCACCAAAGUAUUUGAAAUAUCAUCUUUAUGCAAAUAGAACACAUGAGGUACAUAAUUCCAUAAUUAUGAAUGAACACAUUUAUCAAACAUAUUCCACAUUCAUAUAUCAAUGUCUCAUGUCUUUAUAUAUCAAUAACCAUCAUUUUUCUUGUUUUUCAGAUAAUUAUAUGUAGCCAUUUAUAAGCAUGCAAUUCACUGUUUCUUCCUAUCAAUCACAAUUUCAAAUGACAAAUUCAUGUGAAUGAGCUCAACCUCAUUAGGUGUUUAAAUUCUGUCAUUUUGAUUCACAUACUUAUAAUUUACUAACAUAUCCUGUCAAACACCAAUCUCUGAAUGACAAAAUCACAUAAUUGAGCUUAAUAAUAAUAAUGAUAACAUUACUUGCAUUUCUUUUUCCACACGUUACAUUUACGACUUACCAACUUGUCCAUUCAAGGAAUGGCUUACGGAUUUGAGUACAUCGUGAUCUGAAGCCCGAAGUCUAGCUGAAGCACAUGUGCUAAGCGGGAAGCCCGAAGGCUAACUAAAGCACACAAGUGCUAAACAGAAGCCCGAAGGCUAACUGAAGCUCAUCAGAGCUGAACUGAAACCCUAAAAGGGUUAACUGAAACUCAUAUGAGUUAACGAAAGCUCGUAAGAGCUAAACGGAAAGCAAACACGAGAAUUCGCAACAAAUGCUGAAUCUCGGUUUACUUGGGUAAUUUACCGUCAAUUCAUCUUUUUCACUGAAAGAUCGUACUCAUUUCUUACGUUCCGUUCCUCCGAAAUACUCAGUUCAAUUUCAUAACUUUUGUACAUAAUUUACUUAUUUUCAACAAUUAACAUACGUAAAUAUUAAUCACCAUUCAUAAAAUAAUAUUGAAAUUUAAUAAAACAAAUGGUCACUAAAAUUUAGUUAUAUAAACUCACAAGUUCGAUUUUUGUAUUAUAGAGAUAAUCACAAUUUCAUAAUAAAUAUUCCAAAUAAAACAUUAUAUCAUUUCUAAUUCAACAUUUAUCAAUUAUAAUCGGGCAUGUGAUCAAUUUAUACACAAGUCAUUCAUAUAUAUAUAUGUAUAUUUUCCUCCUCCUCCUCUCCAUCCACAUCCUUAGUAUAAAUAACACACUUGUAAGUAACAUUAUCCAUAACUUUCACUAUUUACUUAUGUGAAUAUUCAAGCUAUCCAUCCGUGUCAUAGUCACUAAAUUAUUUUUAUCUUGAACUACAGAACUCCAAAUUAAUAUCCGUUAAUUUUCCCUGAAACUAGACUCAUGUAUCUUCUUACCAUAAAAUUUUCAUAAUUUUUGGUUUAAUCAAUAAGUACAGUUUAUUCUUUAAAAUCACCCUUGUUCUGCUGUCUGACAGUUCCAACCCUUUUUCACUAAAAAUUAAUUAUCUCACCGUAUAGGAUUUUAAUGAUGUUCCUGUUUGUUUAUCUUGAAAAUAGACUCAUUCAGGAUUCUAAACAUAUAAAUUUAAGCCCCUAAUUAUUUUUAUUAAAUUUUUUAUGAUUUUUCAAAGUUAGAACAGGGGACCCGAAUUCAUUCUGACCUUGUCUUACAAAAUUUAUUAUAUCUCAUGAUUUACAAUUCCAUUGCUAUACCGUUUCUUCUAUGAGAAACUAGACUAAAUAAGAUUAAUUCCAUAUUUUUUCAUCUUUUAAUUCGAUUUCUAAAAUUUAUGGUGAUUUUUCAAAGUUAGCUUACUACUGCUGUCCAAAACUAUUUUAGUGGAAGAUGUUUAUUACCAUUUUUCCCCUAAGCUUUUAAUAAAUAAUAAUUUCGUCCCUAUUCAAUUAGCCUCUCAAUUGAGCUGAUUUUUAUUAAUUAACACUUUAUGCUAUCACUUUAAAUUACUUUAUAACCUUUUGGAAUCAAAACUUCAGCACUAGACUUUAAUUCCAAACAUUUUCACAAUUAGGUCCUAAAAAUCAAUUUCUAUUGAAAUUACCUAAUAAAAUCAUCUCAUAAACAAAUUAAAGCUUCAAUUUCAUGCUAUUUCAUCAUAAACUUACAGAACUCAACCAUGACGACUUUUAAUUUCAUCCAUGAAAUCAAAAACUAAUGAAUUUAAUAGUAGGACCUAGUUGUAAAAGUCUUAAAAAUACAAAAAUUAUAAGAAAAAGGCAAGGAUUAACUCACUUGGUGCAAAAAUUAUGGAAUACCAGCUUAUAGAACCCCUUCUAUGGUGUUUUGGCUGAUGAGAAUGAAGAAAAAAUAAACAGAAUUCUAGAUAUUCCAAUUUGGUCCAAUUUUUAUUUAGCUAAUUUUGGUAAUUUUCCAAUUUUUCCCUUCUUUCACCCUUUUCCUGAUUUUUGCUCAGCUAUUGCCGCCCAAAAUAUCUCCUUUGGGCUUAUUUGCACUUUAGGUCCUUCCUCAUUUGACAAUUGAGCUAUUUAAUCCUUUUAGCAACUUUUACACCUUUUUCAAUUUAGUUUUUUUAUUUAAUUAACCAUCCAACCGUCAAAAUAUUCUGACGAAAUUUUAAUACUACCUCACUAACACUCCAUAAAUAUUUUUAAAAAUAUUUAUGGCUCGAUUUAUGAAGUCAAGGUCUCGAUACCUCAUUCUCGAACCAAUUUACCUAAUUAAUUCUUUUAAAUCACCAAAUUCAUUAAUUCAAAAAUACUUCUAUAUUCACAUUUGACUCAUAGAUAUUAAUUUAUUAAAUUUUUUACUCACUCGUCGGAUUUAGUGAUCUCAAAUCUCUAUUCCUGACACCACUGAAAAUUAGGCUGUUACAGAGUUAUAAAGAAUUUAUCUAUGAAUUGAACAAUUAUAUAAUUGUGAAUGUUAUAUGAUUUUUAAGUGAACGUUAUAUUUUUAUAUUAUUAUGUGUUCGGAUUAUAGAAAUACCACUGAGUUCAUACUCAGCGUACGGUUUGUUUCCGUGCGCAGGAUAAGUUAAAGUCAGACCGUUGAAUCAGCAUCCUAGGCCAAUCCCGAACUCAACGUGAAGAGGUAUAUUAAUUAUUGGUAAUGGCAUGUACCUAAAAUGUCUAUAUGUUUCAUUUUGGAUUGUCAAUGUAAGGAUGAAAUAAGUAAGUUUAGAUUUAGUAACAGUAUAUGGUAGGAAUUGGCUUAUUUGGAAAGAAUUUGAACUAUUUAAUAAUGUAUGUGAAAUACUUAAAAGAUUCAUCAUAUAGGCACAUAAAAUAUCUAAUUUGACAUGUUUUAAGUAGGUUUGAAUGUGAUUUAAAGUAAUUUAAUGAAUGGUUAUUGGAAUGUUUGGUAUCUUAAAUUGCAGGGUUGGUAAAUUUGUUGUUUAAGGCUCAUUUCGAGUCCACACGGCCUAGCACACGGGCGUGUGGACUGACCAUGUGAAAGCUGCACCUUAACACUUUCAAGUCAGAGAGUUACACGGGCUCUCAACAUGGCCGUGUGACCUAGCGACAUCGCCGUUUGAUCUAGUGACACAACCGUGUGAGUCACACGGGCAAUCCACACGGGUGUGUGGGUACUGUUCAUAAGGAAAAUUUUGAAAUUUUGAGGAAAAUUCGUAGUGAUUUUAAAUUAGUCCCGAAUUGAUUUUACUGUUCAUAUUGGGCUUUGUGGGCCCAUUAAAGGGACGAUAUUAAAUUUAUGAUAAGUGUAAACAAUUAUUUUAAUUAAUGACCGUAAUUGAACUGUAUUGACUGGUAAUACCCCGUAAUUCCUGUUCCGGGGACAGAUAGGAGUUAAGGGGUGUUACACAUUUUACAUCCCUAAAUUGUGUAAUGAUAAGCACCAACAUGUUUUAACUUAUUUUAUUGUAAAAUAUUUAAUCAUUUAGUCGUAUACAAUAAUCACACACUAUAACAACAUUUCGAUAUAAUAAUAAAGGAUUGAAACUUAUGAAAAUUUAAUAAUAUGCUCUAAGAGACUAUAUGUAAGGGAAUGAAAAAAUAAAAUUGAUUCUUUUGAUUUUGAUUUUUGAAAAUUUCUAUUAUGUAUGGAAACAUUCUUGAUGAGUGUUUGUAUCAAAUGAAAUCUAGUUAUUUGGAGUUGGUGGGGAGGAAAUAGUCUAUAGAGCUAUUGCAAAUGAAAAACUAGUGCAGAAAAGUGGUCCUUCAACAUGGGUGUUGAUACCUCCUUUAAAAAAUAGAUUUUAGUUAUUGUUGUAACAUUUAGGUAUCGAUAUUUUGAGAUAUGUAUCAAUAUCUCUAGAGCAUGUAAUGAUACCACAUGAACAAGUAUCAAUACCCUUGCCUUUUGUUUUGUUCUAUGACUACUGAUUUGCCAUGUAUCGGUACUUGACUAACAAGUUGUUUUAGAAACACUUAAACACUCUAAAGUAACUUGAUAUUAACUUUAAAAUAUUUGGUGUAAGAUGAAGCACAUUUAAAACAUGUUUCGAGUAUUAUAAGGUUUUGAAAAUUUUAAAAGAUAGUUUCAAUAAUGUUUUCAUUAAAUGUCUUAGUAAUAAAAUUUAUAUUAAAUAUUGUUGUAUAAAAAUUUAAGAUAUCAAAGCUAACACUAGAGAACAAAAGAAGAAGCAUGAAUUAUAUUUUUUUACUAUGAAUAAAUUAAUACCGAAAACUCAAAUGAAAGAAAGGCUAAUUUUAGCUUGGUAUUUUUUUUUCUUUCUAUUUACAUGGAAAUGUAACUUUUCUAUUAAUUAUUAAGAGAAUAAUUUUUUAUUAUUUGUAGGAAAGUAAAUUCCAAGAGCGAUUGGUUCAUUGAAUGUAAAAUUAUUAUUAUAAUAGUAUUACCAAAAUGUAAGAUUAUUUAGUAUAUUAGAAUGUAAUGUAAUUUCUUUUUAUUUGAUUGAUUGAAGGUAAGAUUAUUUAAAAGCAUAUUUUACUAAAUAAGAAUGAAAAAAGUUAUUAAACUAUAUUGAAAGUGAAAAUUAACCAUGAAAAUAUAGAAAAAAAAAAGAUAAUAAUUUACAAAAUGUUAACUUUUCUCAACUAAUAAAUAAUUAAUAAUGAAAACACACUUAUAAUAAUUAAUUAAAAAUUAGGAAAAUAUAAUCGAUAAAAUGUAAUACAAUAAACAAAUGUAUAAUUUUCUUAAAUAAUAAUUAUGGUUUUCGUUAUCAUAUGUUAUUAGGUUCUAAAGAAAAUGAAUUUAUAUCUUAAAUAAAAAUAAUUCCAACUUAAUAAAUUGCAUAUAACAUGAAUUUAAGAGCCAACCUAAAAAAAAUUUUGGGACCAAAAUUAAAUCGUAUAUUUUUAUGAUAGUAAAAAUUUAAUUUUACUAUUUUAAUAACCUAUGUCUUUAUAAUUUUUAAAUGAUUAAAUUAAUUUUUUAUCAUUUUUUAGGGGACCAAAGUAUAAUUUUACCAUUACUAAUUUAAAAUUUUAUAAAUUAUAAUGAGUCUAAAUAAUAAUAAAAAUCAUUUUAGGGGUUGGUGACCUUCCAACCCCUAAAUCCGUCCCGGCAUGAAUUGAAAAAAAAAUUAGUUAUUAAAUUUUAAUAUGGUAAAAAUUUAAAAAAAAAACAAGAAAAUUAUUAGAAUAACUAAAUGAAUUGCAUUUCACAAAUGAGGAGAUAAAUUGCAAAUACUUGAAUUUAAAUUUAAAUUUAAACUUAAAAAUAAUUAUAUUGUAUAUUUAUAUUAAGCUUUUAAUCGAGUUGGUAUUACAAGUUAAUCGGGCAUUAAUUUAGUUGAGAAAUUUAAAAAAAUUAUAUAUCUAUACAUAUAUGAGCUUCUAAUUAAGUUGAUAUUACAAGUUAACCGGGAACCAAUUUAUUUGAGAAAUUACAAAAAAAAAUGUCAUUUUUUAUAUACAAAGUAACAAAUAUUAAUAUGAGGGUGUUUUUAUCUUUUUUGUAUUUUUUCAAUAAAAUAAUACAAUGAUAAUAUUUAAACUUGACACACAUUUUUUUUGAGAGGUGAAACACAUAAGUUUUAAAGUUUUAAUUUAACAAUUUCAAUAGAGCUUAACUUGGUUGUAAUAAAAUUGUUAUAAAUAUAAUUUUUACAUAAAUUAUUUUCAUCCAUAUAAUCCAAUAUUGAAUAAGGAGAUAAACCUCAAAAAUAAUUGCAUAGCAUGUUAAUUAGGGGGAUAAAUAUAUGAUUUAAUGGUAAAAUGAUAAAAAUUGAAACAAAAAUACCAAUCAUUUUAGAAUCUUACAUUAAAAUAUGGUAAUGAGAUUAUUCCUAUAUUAGGGAAUCCUGACAAACUCAAAAUAAUUUUUGAAAUGCACACACAAAAAACAUAUGAUAUAAAAAUUCUUAAACCAAACAUUUAAUUAAAAAUAAAAAUAAAUCACUUUUUUACAAAUCUAGCAUUAAAAUCACAUUUUAACUCAUAAAUUAAGAGGUCGAUUGAGUUUUAUCUUAGUUAGUAUCAGCAUUGUUGUCAGUAGACCUGUUCAUGGGUCGGGUAGAGCCCACUCAAAAAGUGGGAGAGUUUGGAAAAAAUAUAAACUCGAAAAAUAGGUUUGGGCAAAAAAAUAAGGCAUGUUUUAAAAAUUAGUCGAGCCUCGGGUAAGACUUUUUUGUCCGAGCCUAGCCCAAAUUUACUAAAUGAAAAAAAAACCUGCUAAUUUUUUGUUAUUUUAAUGAUAUUUUCUUGUUGUUUUCUUCCUAUUUUGCUACAAUUUCCCUAUUAUGCUGUUAUUGUUUGGAUAUUAUAUAAUGCUUGUUUUAUUAUUAAUUUUGUUAUUAUUUUAGAGACAUUUUCUUAUUAAGUUGCAUCUGUCUUAGUAUUAUUUAAGUAUACAUAUUUUUUUAAAUUUAUUUUCAAUUUGUUCAAAAAUAUUUAUUUUAAUAUUUUUAGUAUUUUUUAUGUAUUAUAUAUAUUUAAAACUUAUGUAAAAAUUAAUAUAAUAUAAAAAAAAAUUAAUAUGAGCGAGUUGGGUUGGGCCCGAGUUUUAGCAUUUUUAUCCGGGUUGGGCUUGGGCAAACUUUUAGGCCCAUUUUUGGGUCAGUCAAGGCCUGGGCCUAGCAAAUGGGCCUAAUUUUUUUGUUGGGACCCAGCUUGGCCCAGCCCAUGAUCACCUCUAGUUUCCAGUAUAGGAGGACGUAGGUUCGAGUCCGCUGAAGCACAUUAUCCUCCUAUUUAAGAGUAGGGGAGGGGCUAUGAGUAGUUCUAGGCAUUGUAUAACAAAAUAAAGACUAGGAAUCGUGAUGUUACAUUUAUAUGAAAGGAAGUAAAUAAAAAAACAACAAAUAAUAAAUUAAGAGUAUAUAACCUAAGUAGCCACUACACUUUUACCAUGUUUCUGUUUUGGUCAUCCAAUUAUGAAAAUUUUCAAUUUAAUCACCAAACUGUUUGGAUUCGUUUUUUUUUUUUUUGUCAUUGUGCCAUUAAGUCUAAAAUGAUUGGAUGACACGGCCAUUUAUUUCUUAGAUAAACUACAUGAAUGGUCACUCAACUAUGAGUGUUUCUAUUUUGGUCACCCAACUAAUUCUUUUUGCGAUUUAGUCACUAAAGUUUUCGAAAUUAAAUUCUUUAAUUUCCAUGGCAUUAAAUUGAUAAUAAAAGUUUGAUGUAACAUUUUUUAUUGGCCUAAUAACAAUUUUUUUCCUUUAAUAUUUAUAGGUUCUAUCAAUUUAGUUAUAAUACUCUAGAACUUCGUAUUUUUAUAUGCUAAUUGAAUGUUUUUUUUUAGUAUGAUCCUACUAAUUUGGGCUACUUAUGGUCUUUUCUCUUUUAGGGACUAAAAUGAAGGCAAAAGUAAAUUUAAAGGAGAAAAGCGUGAAAUUAAAGAUGAAUUGGGCCAACAUGCGAAGUAGGGGAAAAGGGUGGUGCCAAAAAUGUAAACAUAGAAGACCUAAGGACAAAAAUGAAAAAGAAGAGAUUUUAUAGCACAAGAAUCUAUUUUAAUUUUAAUUAUAUUAGGAUAAUUAUUAAGGAUUUUAUUUAGAUUUAAUCUUAUGAUUUAUUUUCAUUUAUAUUUAUUUAUCCUUAAUUAUCUUUAUUUAUUUAUAUUUAUCUUUUAGAAUUUAAUUAGGAAUAAACUAGGUUUUUUAGUACUAUAAAUAGGGGAUGGAGUGGCACAUAUUUGAUAUCUCUUUUUUAUGUAAACACUCCCUCUCCCUCAACAGGGUAUUCAUUGCUUCUCCGCAUUACGGGGCUGACGUUUCCGUCCAUGUCCCUUAAUAGGUGACCUUUUCAACUUGUGCAAGGAACGGCUGCUUUGUAUGUUUUUGGAAGGUUGCACAGUCGGUUCGUUGGCUUUCUGCGUUAGAGGUCGGCGAAUCCAAGAGACAAAAUAGUGUGGUAUUCGCCGUUGGGAAGUGAUGAUCUAGCAGAAGAUAGUCCCACAAAAGCGAUUAUUGGCUAACGUCAGGUUUCGCAUUAAGUCUAAAUUUUUGGAGCUGAAAGUCGUAGGCGUCCUCUUCCAGUAUAACUGGCUUAUCCUACUCGAGAAGGGUUACUUAAAAACCAAAGAUUGAACCCAAGAAUUUGAACUAAAUUGAUAGAAUGUAUGAAUAUUGAAAGGUUAAAUUUGUUAUUAGAUUAAUAAAAAAGGUUAGGUCAAACUUAACAAUUUGAUGAUUAAAAAUUUUAAUUUAUUCGAGAAAUAAAGAGACAUGUCAUCUAGUAGUUUCAAAUUUAACCACACAAUAACUAAAAAUAGAUUCAAAUAGUUAAUGAUUAAAUAGAUAGUUUGAUAACCUAAACAGGAACACAAUAAAAUCUAAUAAAAUCUUAGUGACUAAUUUGGUUGUUUACCCUAAAAUCAAUUAUCAUACCAAAUGUUUUCCUAAACAACGUGACAAAAUGUGGGACCAAUUUAUAUAUAUAUAUAUGGAAAAAGCAAAACAAUAAUAAGCGAAGAAUCAGGAAAUGUGUCGCUUUCGUGGUCCAAUCAACUUUCGCCAAAUGGGUCGCGACCCGAACCUUUUCCUCCUCUAGAUUGGGUCAAGCUCCGAAAAACAAUAAUAAUAAAAAGGUUUCCAUUUCCAAGGUAAAUUAAAUAUAAAAAAAGUUAAACCACAGAUUAAAAUCGUACAUAGCGAUUAACGAAGUUGCAUGAUUUGCUUACGUGGCGAAAAACGGUUGGUUGAUUUCAUGCAGCACGUAAUAUCAUUGCAUCACUGUCACGAAGAUCUAUAAAAACGACACGCAAUUGAAGUUCUGAUUUUGAUUUCCAAAUUUUUUUGAAGUAACAAAGGAGUAUUUUCGAUCGUCUUUAGAACAAGGGUUCUUGGAUUGAUAUGAUGAUGGGGCGUUUUGCUCUUCUUCUCUUAGCUUUUGCGUCACUGCAGCUCUUUUGCGUCGCCGAUGAUGACAAUAAUGACGAUGAUGUGGUAUUUUUUUUAAAAAAAAUCUCGAAUUGGUGAAGAAUAUUUUGAUAUGUAAAAUUUGAAAAUAAGAUUUCUUCUGUUCUGUUUUUAGGUUUUUUAUGAAUCAUUUGAAGAGUCAUUUGAGGGUCGAUGGAUCGUCUCUAAUAAAGAUGAUUAUAAAGGUGAGAUUUUCUUAUUUAAUUUUAUGGAACUCUUCAUUGGGAUGUUUACUUAUGGAUUGAUUUUUAUCAUUUUAUAGUCUGAUUUCUUCAUGUUGUUUGUCCUGAAAAACAUAUGCAUAAAACCAAGAUGAAAAAAUUGAUCUUUGGGAAACUAGAGGGUACUUAAUGAUUUUUAUAAUCUAACAUUUAUGGGAUCCUUAAUUUUGUUUUUAAAUCAUAAAUUUGAUGAUCUCAUUGACAAUCAAUAUGUGCGUUAGGGAAUUGCUAAUGGAAACUAGAAAAAGUAUAUGCUUUGUGAUAUGGAUAUGGUUUUAAAAGAUAGAUGGUUGUAUGAUGUUCAUAAUAUAUGUAGGACUGGUAGCGUUGGGUGUAGAUAUUGAUGUUGUUUUUGGAGCUGCAGGUUUAUGGAAGCAUUCAAAGAGCAAGGGCCACGAAGACUAUGGUCUUCUGGUGAGUGAGAAGGCAAGAAAGUAUGCAAUAGUGAAGGUGGUUGAUGAACCGGUGAGUCUGAAAGAUGGAACCACCGUGCUUCAGUUCGAGACUCGGCUCCAGAGUGGACUCGAAUGUGGUGGUGCCUACAUUAAAUUUCUUCGUCCUCAAGAGGCGGGUUGGAAGCCUGAGGAAUUCGACAAUGAAUCCCCUUACUCCAUCAUGUUUGGACCUGACAAAUGUGGGACAACAAACAAGGUGCAUUUCAUAUUUAAGCAUAAGAAUCCCAAGAAUGGGGAGUAUGUUGAACACCAUCUUAAAUACCCACCUUCUGUCCCAUCCGACAAGCUCACUCAUGUCUACACUGCAACCUUAAAACGCGACAAAGAGGUUAAAAUUAUGAUUGAUGGAGAGGAGAAGAAGAAGGCAAACUUAUUAGUAGCCGAAGAUUUUGAUCCUCCACUUAUCCCAGCCAAGACAAUCCCUGAUCCUGAUGAUAGGAAACCAGAGGAUUGGGAUGACAAAGAAAAGAUUCCUGAUCCAAAUGCUGUGAAACCGGAUGAUUGGGACGAGGAUGCACCGAUGGAAAUCGAGGACGAGGAGGCGGUGAAACCAGAAGGAUGGUUAGACGAUGAGCCUGAGGAGAUAGAUGACCCUGAGGCAACCAAGCCAGAAGAUUGGGAUGAUGAAGAGGAUGGUGUGUGGGAACCCCCAAAGAUGUAUAACCCAAAGUGUGCAAUAGCUCCUGGUUGCGGUGAAUGGAAGAGGCCAAUGAAGAGUAAUUCUGCUUACAAAGGGAAAUGGUCUCCUCCACUAAUUGAUAACCCCAAUUAUAAGGGUGUUUGGAAGGCUAGGGAGAUUCCAAACCCCAACUACUUUGAGCUUGACAAGCCUGACUUUGAGCCUAUUGCUGCCAUUGGUAUUGAGAUUUGGACAAUGCAAGAAGGAAUACUGUUUGAUAAUAUAGUGAUAGCUAAAAACGAGAAGGUUGCCAAGUCAUAUCGAGAGACCAAGUGGAAACCCAAGUUUGAGAUUGAGAAAGAAAGACAGCAGGCUGAGGAAGAAGCUUCUGGUUUAGACUUCCUUGAAAGCAUCAAGGUCAUGCUUUUGCAAGUUUAUUUAUGGAAUUAUUUUUCGUUUACUCAAUCUUGUAACAUUUUAACUUAAAGUUGGUGAUUUCUUAAUCUGCAGAGGAAGGUGUUUAAUGCCCUAUAUCAGAUUGCUGAUAUUCCUUUCUUAAGCAACUACAAGCCUCAAAUUCUCGUAAGUUCACGUAAUAUGCUGUUUCUCAUAUGCAAUAUCAGUUUUUCAUUGGUGGGGAGCGGAGAAAAUUAAAUUAUAACUUUUAUGAUAGCUACAAUGUAAUUUUUAAAGGAUUAAAUAAAAUUUUUUCAUUUUUAGAUAAUUUACUAACUUAAAAUUUUAAAAAAUUUAAAUGGUAGAGCCUGCCAGCCCCCUCCUAGAUUCGCGGAUGACAUCUGAAUUUUGAGUUUUUCAUUUUAGGAUCACAUUAAGAAGGCUGAGAAACAACCAAAUCUCACCAUGGGAGUCCUAGUCUCUACUGUCGCCAUUAUCCUCACGAUUUUCUUGAAGCUCAUUUUUGGUGGCAAGAAUCAGGUUGGUUUAUGUUUCUCUUUUCUGCCGCUGUUUGUAUAUAUGUUAUUCAAGUUCGGAUUUGAUAUUUGUCGGGAAAUGUGCCCGACAUGGAUAUGUUUAAUCCCCUUUUCAAGAAUGCAAGGUCCUUUGAAAAUCCUUGGAAGAUUAUAUCCGUAAUGGAUACUUUAAGAACUAGGGUUGUUCUUAUUCCCUUGGUUAAUAUUUGUGCAGCAGUGCCCAAGAAUAGAAACAAAACCAGUACCCGUGGUCGCUGAAACAUCAGAUGAUCAAGGAAGCGAUGGAGAAAAGGUUGAAAAGGCAGAGAAAAAUGAAGCUGCUGCUGCUGCACGACGAAGGAGGCGUGAAACAUAAUAUUAAAAGGAAAAAAGUCUUUAAAACAGAGUGGUCGGUGAUCAUCAGUACCAAUUUCGGCUAAUUUUUGGGCUUUUAGGUGGUUUUCUCUUUGUAGCUGAAACAUAACAUCCUUGGUCCUUGGUUUUUAACUUUUUGGAUAUUAGAAAUUCCUUUAUAUUUAACAUGUAAUAUCUUUUUGCUGUCGAGUUCAAUGACAUGAGGAAUCCCCAAUUAGGAAAGGAUCGUUGGUUAGUUAUAUGAAUGUUUUCUAAGUGAAACGGUAACUUACAAAAUGGCUGAGAAUUUGAUGUAAAUGUAGAGCACUCCAUACAUUGUUACUUUUCAACUAGAUUUUUUUUUUAAAUCUAAAUUUUCUUUGUAACGACUUUUCACCAAAUUGAGCUUUCCGAAAUAAUAUAACUUCACAAAAUUUUUAGAUCGUCAAUUUAUUGGUAUAACUAAAAAUUUUCGGGGUAUACGAAAGGAAGAAAAUUUCGGGUAACUUGCUGAACCCAACAGAAAAGAAUGAAUUAAACUAACUAUCAGAUCAAAAUUUCGCCUUUUGAUCCAUGAAUAUGUAAAAACUACAGAAACCUUUAUUAGGAACAAGCACCCCCCACCCUCUCACAAAAGAUAAUUUAUAUUCUAAAAAAACACUCUUCAAGACUUCAACCUAAAAACUAUAUGUUGGUAACUUUUAAAAUUAAUUUUGUGCUCUUGGUAAUCACAUGUCAGUACUAUUUUCGUGUUUUUAAAAUUAAUAAAUCUACUCAAUUCACAAUUAUUUGAUCAAUGAGUUUCCCGCAUUGACCUAUUAUCACAUGACAAUUAAGUUACUCUCGUCGAACUGUUACGUUGACUAAAUGCAUUCUGACAUUCAAACCAAUACUUACAAAUAAUUAAAAAGGAAUUUCCGUACCAUAGAAAUAUCCAAAAUAAACAUAGAUUAAAAACUCUAUCCAACGGGAAUUUAAAAAAAAAAUUGUUCUUAUCGGUCUCCCACAUGGAAACCAAACAGAAAUGCUACAGUUCACCUUAUUUAAACAUGUAUUAAAAAAAAUUGUCUCUCGUAAUGUAAAACAAAAAGAUUUUUAAAAAAAAGUGUCAAAAUUUAAGCAUGUUAUGGUUGAGAUUUUGCAUUCGGGGAGCUCUUUAACUCUUCAAACGAGAAUGAUCCACACCUAUAACUUAGAACUCUUUAGAUGUUUAACCCCAAAAAGUGAUUGAUUAAUAUAUUACAAUACCUAACGCCGACCUCCGGUUUUCUUAGCCGCAAUUGGCGGAAGUAAAUCCUCAUCAUCCGACUCCACAUCUCCAUACUGCCACAUUCCACGCCGACCAGUUUUCGCUUCCUCCUGACACUCUUCCAAUUUAUUAAGCAUCAAUUUUCUCUCCUUCGAUUCCCAUUUCUUCCUUUUCUCCAACCUAGCAAGACCGUCCUGCAAAUAAAACAAACAAAUAACACGCCCGUAAGAUUAAAGAAAUUCGAUGCAGAAAUUAGUAAAUGGUUGACACUGUUUUGUCACAGCAACGAUGACCUGGAUAUGACCCUCUAAAUUCAUGAAAAUCAAACCUUUAAACAUAUCAGGAUUUUUAACAGAAUCAGAGGUUGAGUAGAACAGAGAAGGGAUAAUAUAUUGUUCAAACCUUCAGCAUUGCUGCAUUGAUGCUAUCCUCCGGAUCCUCGGUAAAGAGGGUUACAACGAGACAAGUACCAGUUCCCUGUCCCUUGACUUUUCCCCCGGAAGUAUCCCUUUCCUCUAUCACUGCCUUGAAUUGCAGUGAACUUCCUAGUGUCUGCUCACUCAAAAACUGGGCAGCCUCAGUACCAAAUUCAUCAUCGAGGCUUGGAACUUUCACAAAUGCAAGACUGCAUAACUGAGCAAGCCCAGGUGUUGCUGAUAAUGAAGCAUCAAUAGGCCGUAAUUGACUGUAGGGAACCAACUCUUGGUUUCCAUAAUCGAGAUAAAACACUUCAAACCUGUCAUUUGAAGACUGAACUCCUCCUCGAGGUGCAUUGACAAUCUUCACACGUCAAACAAGAUGCAUUCAGUACCAAAAAUGAAAAGAGAAGUGAAAGGUGAAAGCACAAACAUGUCAAAUGGCACACGAAUAUGCAUAAUGAGGGACAACCAUGAUUCUUAAUUUUAGAACAUUGAGAACCAUUGUUUCACAAUUUCUCCUGUUAGCUUCAAAAUAUUUUAGAAUGCCUUUAGUAUUUAAAUCUUGUUAUGGAUUCAAAAUUAACUGUGCCAGACGGACUUUAGGAAAAUUUUGGCACUCCUCACCCCCACCAUUCUUUAAACAAUAACAGGAGGCACAAUAUGAAACCAGUUGAAAAUUCUGCAGCCAAAACCAUUCACAUAAAGGAUUACAAAAAAGAGAACAUAUUCAGAAUCAAGUUUUCUGAACUAACCAGUGCACGAUUCCAUGAGUUAUCCAUGCUAAACUGAGCAAGGACAAUGUCGCCCUUCUUAGGAUUAAAAGCACCAAUCACAGGAGCCUCUUGGAUAUUUAAAGAUGCAAGCUGUUUCUGAAUAGAAGAUACUCUCUGAUCUCCAACUGUUUGGACGUAAAAUUUUCCACCAUUCAAUACUUCAGUAAUAACAACCUGAAAAUAACAAGAAGAAUAAGUUAUUUCUAGUUAAGUUCAUGAUUAAGUCAGAUAGGUAUUAUUUUUAGUUAAGUUCCUAGAGCACCUCCAGUAAUUCCUUUUGUUUGUUCUCUACAGGGGCAGAUCCAUUCGAAACUUCCUCCCCUUCAACAUAGUUCUCCCAAAUCUGCAUUUAGAAGUUCAAAGAUAAUAAAGCCAAAAAGUUCUAUUAAGCACCAAAAGAAUAUGUGUGAUAAAGAUAAGUCCAUCAGCUACUUACUUUCAGUUUCUGCCUCUUGGCAGAUUGUUCAGCCUGUUCGAGAAGAUGAGCAUCAGGAAUCCAGUCAGCACCAAAUGAAGUUUGUAGCUUUGCCAGGCCAGCUUCAACUAGUGUCACAGCCAUAUUGGUUCUGGACUCCCACAAAGACCCCAAAAAUGUUCCAGUUCUAUCGACAGUUUCCACUUCAAUCUAUGUAGAAAAACAUACAUUUGUAAAAAGGGAAAAACAAGAUCAAGGCAGACAAGCAAUUAAAACAGAAUCCAUACCUCCACAUCUCUCUGCAUGAUCUUCCGUCUCAUUACUGCUAUGGCUUCAUCUGAAUAUGGUUCAUCACGACCAGGACAUCUGACACCAGAAAAUGAGAAGGCAAUGCUACAAGUUUCCUUAGGGAUCAACAACUUAAAACGAUGACCGCUUAGGACAUAUUCCACAAUAGCUGGUAUCCUCUUGUGAAGCAGGAAAUGCAAGAAAUCUCUAGCUUUCUUGGCUGGUGCCUGAGAGUAGGGAAGACAGUAUAUGGAUAUUAGAAUUUAGAUUAGAAAUACAAUAUACAAACAAGAAAAUGAAUAACAUAAAGAGACACAAUUGCCAACCAUUGUGAGGUCUUGUAUGUGCGUGACUGGAGGAUCCUUGGCAGAAUGGAUUCCUUUCUUUCCAGAAAUCGCACGUGAUUCAGCAGCCAAAAGGGCAUCAUAAUAGUUUGAUCUUUCCUCAAAAUCCCUAUGUCUUAUCACUGUGCCAAAGCCACGUCCAACCACCAACUCUGCAACAUUCAAGCCAGGUGGCUGACUACCAGCUGUGGAUGGGAGUGCGGCAGGCGCAUCAUCACCAUCACCCUUAACAGAAGACAUUAGGAAGACUGAGCCAAAAUCCAUUACCCUUGAAUCUGCAGGUGCAGCAGCAGCUAUAGCACCAUCAGCCAUGGGAACCUUCCUUGAAUAUUCCAUUUCUACAGUCACCUGAGAAAAGUAUGUUGACAUAUGAUGAAUAAAGGUUCCUAACAGUUAACAAAAUAAUAUUUUAAAGAAAAAUUACUAACCUGUUUUCCAGUAAGGCGUGUUCUCAAAAACUCUCUUGCUUCCCGGGCAUAAGCAGCCGGCUUUUCAUCUCUACGAGGAUUGCCAAUUUUUGGACACCUAAUGCUUGAAAGAUUGACUCGGCGCUCUGCAAGAGGACUGCCAUAUGGGGCAGAAUCAUCAGCCACAACAAUGCAGUCCCCGCUAACAACCUCCACAACCUAAGUUGAAAAGUCAUACUGUUAUAAAUAGUUACAAAAAAGCCAAAAACCAUAUACUAGUGGUACAAGAAACUUGCAUGAAAAAGUAAUUAAAAAACUGCUGCUGUUACCUUUCCUGUGAAGUUCUGGUCACGGAUUGCCUUUGAGUUUGUAGCUGGGGGUACAUAAUUUGUCCAGAUCCUUAGCCGAGUCUUCUUGGCUUCAAGCUCUGCAGCCUUCAACCGCCGUUUGGCAUCAUCUUCCAUCAUAUUAGCACUCCAUUCAACAUAUUUUGCUAGACCCUUUAUUGUGAGAAGAGAUUGUAAGAUUCAGAAAGGAGGGGUGGGAAGCAAGCAUAAAAGAAUUCAAUCAUUCAGAAUAUGUAAACAAAAAUUCAAUAUAAAAAGGAUGCACAUAGUGUUUUAUACCAUUUCUGGUAUGAAAGAAAUCUGCUAACCAAAGAAACAGUUUAAUUGAUUAUAUGCCCAAGGCAUCACAUAAAGUAGUAUCAUAACUACACUAAGAUAUAGGUACAGAUAGCUUCUAACUUUAAAUUUGCAUAGUGGAUAGGAAAAACAAAGCUAGAGAUUUAAAACAGCUCAUUGGAGAAAACAGCUAAAGAAAUAUUUAAGAGAGGAUUAAAGAUAUAGAGAAAACCAAUCUCAGUAAAAGAUCUGAAAUCAAGAAAAUAUUCUUUUAACAAUAAAUCAUGACCAACAAAAUGAGAUAGAAGAGAAAAAAAGUUCAUUGCACAUAAACACUUAAGACACAGCCCCAACAACAAUCUCAAACAUAAGAAAUCUUUUCUUUAACAAAUAAAGGUGAUCUUCUGAAGAUAGUUCAAGCGUACAAACUUCUCCUCGAAUGGAGAACUGCCAAAUUAUUAUCAAGAAACUAAUGUUUUGGAAAUAAAAGUUUUUACAAGCAAAAAUAGAACAAAAGAAAAUUAAUUCAAGUCUAAAACAUGAAUAAUAGAAACCCUAUAGUUCAGUACUCAAUGCUAAUAUAACAGAUUAAACAUAUUUUAGGCAUGCACAGCAAAAGAAAUCCAAGAACUUACAUUUUCCACAAGCUCCAAUGCAAGGUCUUUCGCAGUUUCACCUUCAGGAUAAUAAACUGAUCCAAUCAAAUUGCUAAAUUUGUCAACACCUUCAAGAACAAUGCGGACCUACAACAUCAAUCUUGACUUUAGGAUAUCUAUACAAAAUGUACUCACACAAGUCGACCUGAAGUCUUUUUCACUCACAUCUCUAUUCAAGCAGCGAACUUCUGUAAAAUGUUUAGCUUCUGGCCCAAAUGGAUCAGGGGACACUUCAGCAGCAGCUGCUGCAGACGCAGAAAGCUUCUGUGCAGAUGUUAAGGGAGCCCGUGGCUCAGCUGAAGCAUCUCCAUUUUGAUCAUCGGAGGUCAAAUACGUUUCAACAACAGUUUCUGCAGCAGCCCUUCUACCCAUUGAAGGGGACUACACGAACAGGGAAAAGAAGGUAAAUAUUCACGAAGACAAAUUAACAUGCAAUUGAAAUAAAAAGGCAGAACUGCAGUUUAUAGUGCACCUGGAUACCAGCAACAAACACUUGCACAAACUGAAAAUCUGGGAGCAGAUAGACUCGAACAGUACUACCAUCACGAACCUGCUCCACAAUACCUUCCAUUGGCUUACCCUUAUUUGCAGCCAGAAGACCCAUGGCAUCCAAGUUACUAGGAUCACCAAUAGCAGAUGGAGGUAGAUCCCGGAUAGAAGCCUCAGCAGCACCAGGCACCUACAACCAUGAUAAACGUUUUCAUUUGAUAGCUACUCAUUGUUUCUAGGUCAGUUAGAUGCCCAAAUAUAAUUGGGCGUAUAACAAGGGGAAAGAGAUUACCUUGCUCCAUCGACCCACACCUUGUUGUUUGGCCUGUUCCUCAAGGCGUAGCAGUUCAGCAAGAAUAGGGCUUGCUUCACCUUUCUGCUGUCCUUGCUCCCUGACCUGCACAAGCCAGGCUCAGAUAACCUAAACACCAAUUUUUUUAAAAAUUGCUGAAUCACUUUCCCCAGUAUCACGAAAAAAACUGACAAAUGAAUUACCUUUGCCCAGCCUUGAGAGACAACCAAAAUUGCAGCAUUUUUGUCACCGAGGUAAACUGAGCCAAAUUCUCGACCUAUGCUCGGUACAGCAUAUUCAACUCUGAAAGUGACUUCCUGAGUAAAGAACAAAUUUGUUUAGGUCACCCUGAUUUUAAGCAAUAUCAUCAAUAACUAAAAUUACAUGAAUCAUUCGAAGGGAACAGCACCUUCCCUAUGCAGAGCUUCCUCAAAAAUUCUCUGCUCUCCCAGGCAAAUGGCUCAUCAAUACCGCCUCUACGUGCCUGUUAAUAAAAUAAGAUGGAAAACAUAAACACAAAGAAAAGCAUCGACUGGAAGUUUGACUCAAACAGCUUGCAACAAAAAGUUUACAAGUUAGAACUUAACAAUUAUGAAAUCAAGAUACCAACCUACUCAAAAGUAACUCCCAGAAUCAUUAUCCGAAACCAAAACUAAAUUAAUCAGCAAGAAAAUGCCAAACAGAUAUUACAAAUAAAUUUAAAAGCGACCAAGGGAGACAUAAAAGGAUAUUUAAAUGAGUUUUACCAGUCUGGGAGCAAUGAGAGAUGCCAGGGUAAUGGUCUUCUCGGGUGGAGGUCCAGGUCUGUUACUGGCCAUCGCCGUUACCACCAAGGAAUCCCCCGAUGGAACUGCUUUGACUCUCCCUUUGUACCAUCCCGUUCUCCCAGCUGCUGGUGCCGCCAUUCUCAACGGCUAAGAUCUACAACAAAAUUGCCAACCACUUCACUUUCAAAAUUCAAUAUUUCCGCAAACAAGCAAAAAUAUCGGUAACAUUCUAAAGAAACAUAAUUCGAAAUAAAUUCUCCAGAUCUGUAACAUAUGAUCCACAGGAAUUUCAAAACGAUCUAAAAUCCAUCCUUUGAAUAUUCUAAAACGCUACAUGCAUCAACGGAACACUAAAAUAUUAAUAACAGUAUCAAUUCAAAAGGCCUUGAUCUAUUAAUUUCAUCGAACGAGACCAAUGAAAAAAAUAACAAACAGUUUGAAUAAGAAAGAACAAAAUCGAAACAAUUUCAUCUAAAAUCAGAUUAAACAAUGCCAAAUAUAAUACCAGAAUCGAAAAUUAUCGGUCUUGGCUUUUACCUGGAUCAAACGAGGAAAACUCCUUAUUGGAUCUACCGAAGAACGGAGAAUGAGAGACUUUAUAUAAUGAUGAUAAGCUCCGUUAUUCUGUAUUAUUUAAAAAAAUUAAAUUAAAUAUAAAAAAAAACUCAGAGUAGGAGAGAGAGGGCGGCGAUCAGAGACAGAGAGAAGUGGAAGAUUGUGCGCGUAAGAGCCAAUAUAUACACGCAGAGGAAGGCGAGUUGGGUGAUAAAAAUAGUCUCCGUUUUGGAAUAAAAUUACAUGAAAUGCCACGAGAAAUACAUACAAUAUGAUGUUGACAAAAUUGAUGCUGAUUUCUGCUUUUAGAGAUCUGUUAGAUUUAGAUUUUUAGUUAUUUCUUCUGACCCAUUUUGCCCCUGUUUCUUAACUAUUUCUAAAAUUGAAAACUCCGCCACUUUGACAUCUCGUAUCGCUCUACUAUUUCCUUUAAAAUAUAUGUAACUAAUGUUCAGGCCUAAGACCGAAUUUUUUAAUUCAACAGUAAUAAUAAUGUAAACAGCGUGCUGCUACAAUUAAUAUCAAAUUAAUAUUGCCAAUUUUGUUUAGGAACAUAGCCUUAAAUGACCCGUUCGAAUAGUUGGUUUACAUGUAUUUUUUAAACUAAAUAAAAUAUAAUUUUAAACUCAAAUGAACAAAAAUAUCUUAUAUUAAAAAUGUAUAUUUAUAAAAUUAUUUUAAUAAAUAAUUAUAGGUGGAAUAGUAAUAUAUUUUUAUUUAAAUUUGUUCAUCUUAUAUUUAAUUCUUAAGUAAUAUUUUGCAAUUAUUUUAUUUUAAAUAUUUAUCAUAUAAAAGUAUGGAAUAAUAAUUGUAAUACUAUUUUUUUAACAAACAAUAAUAAUACUAAUUAAUUUUUAAAUUAAGGAUGUUUUAAUAAUUUUAUAACUAAGUUGAUGUAGAGUCAUGAUAUCAACUCAAUCAUUUUAUAUAUAAUAUGGAUUAUAAUUAUUUUUAAUUUAAAUACUAAUAUAAAGAUAAUAUUUUUAUUUUUUAAUUUAUAUUUGAAAUAAUUUAAUUUAAUAAAAUUUAACAAAAUUUAUAUUAUGCUUUAUAUCAUCGAAAAUCUCUAAACAAAAAUUAAAGAUUUCAAAAAAUAAAAUGAAUAAGUUAAUUUAGCUACUAUUAAACUAUAAAUAUUAGCAUAAUUAUUUAUUAUUUAUUAUUUAUAUGCAUAUUAAAAAAAAUUAAAAGAAAAAUAAACCAUUUUCAUGCAUGUAUAAUAUAUACACAAAUAUAUAUCCUUGAGGUAAUUAUAUAUUGUUUUCUUAAAUAUUUUACUUACUAAAAAUACAAAAAAUUAUUUUAAAAAUCAUAUGAAAUUUUGCUAAAAGUCUAAGUUUAUUUUAUAAAUUUUCAAGAUAAAGUAAAAAAUUAAAGAUAUACAACAUAUAGCAAUUUAUACAAAUUUCAAAAUUAUAUAUAAAUAUAUAUAUACUGUUAUUAAAACUUCAGAUUGAGUAGGUAUCAAGAAUCAACUAUGCACCAAUUCAAUUGGAAAAUUACGAUAAUGUCUUUUUAUAAUUAAAAUAAGGUAUAUUGUUCAAUGACACUUUAAUCUUUUUUAUUAAAAAAAUCAAUAAAAAUAAAAUGGAUUUGAACUCAACCAAUUGUUUUAAUAAAACCUUGAAUUCAUCACUCAACCAAAGUUUUAUUUUAUCAUAUUUAAAACAUUUUUAUUUUAAUAUGCACAAUUUAUUAUGUCCAUCAAUUGUAUAUUUAUACAAUUAUUUAAACCUCUAACUGGGUUGAUAUCACGAGUCAACCAGGCACCAACACGAUUAGGGAAGUUACAAAAAUAUUCAUCCGUAAUCAAAAUAAAUUAUAUUGCAAAAACCAAUGAAAAUAUAAUUUGAACUCACACCAAUGAAAAUAUACUACUCAACCAGAGCUUCAUUUUAAUGUGUUUUUAUACAUAUUUAUUUUAAUAUAUGCAUGAUUUAUUAUCUCCAUCAGUUGUAUAUAUUAAUAAUGUUAUUAAUUGAAUUAGUGUCACAAGUCAACUUGACAUUAAGUCAAAAUUAAAGAUGACACCAUAAUAAACAAUUAUAGUACAUUUAAUAUUAUUAAUUUAAUGUAUUUAUAUGUUUAAUUUUAUUUUACUUACAGUUUAAUUUUUUUAUUUUAAUAUUAUACAUAUUUUAUAAACUUAUAUAUUAUUAUAAUUAAUUAAUUUCAAAUCAUAUAUUUCAUUAUUUAUUAUGUUUUAUUUUUAAACAUAUAUCUUUUAUCUAAAUUCGUACAGCAUAAUUGCCAUACAUAUACGAAAGUCUAAUAUAUAUUAAAAACAAAACCUCUAAUCAUAAAAAGCUUAUCCCAAUAGAUAUAUAGUUUAAAUCGUGCCAUGUAUAUAAUUAGAAAAUGUAACUUAUCAUAUAUUUAAUUAUUUCGACUCAAUUUAAUUAAAAACAUUUAAAUGUCAUAUAAUAAAUUAUAAUUAUUUUUUAACAUUUUUAAUUGACUUGCCUUAUACAUAUAUGUAAUAGUAUAAAUAAUUUUUUUUCUCUCAUAAAUCAUUUAUUAAUAGACGUGAGUUAAUUAUACAUAAAACUACAAACUAAAAUCAGAACCAUUUUUAAAUACCAUGUUAAGAACAUUGAAUUUCUUUCAAACCCAGCUUUAAGAAAGAUAUCAGCUCAACUAUUCGCAUAAAAUAAUUCUUAUAUGGGUUAGAGUAAUAUUUUUUUCAACACGUGUUAUAAAAUAGAGUUAUGUAAAAAAAUUCUAAAUUGAAAAUUUAAAAUUUUCAGUUUAAUCGAUUUUUAUGUUCGGUUGAAUUAGUUUAAUCAGUCAAUUUUUAAUUUUGAUAUUUUAAAUUGAAUAAGUCAUAAGGCUAAGAGUCCAUAAUAUUUACAUACCUAAAUCUAAAUUUAAACUUUAAACUCAAAUAUCAAUUAAAAUUUAAUACUCUUAAAAGCCUAAACCCAUUCAAAAUUAAAAUCCAAAUUGAUAAUUAAUUUUUUUAUAAUAUUCAUUUUAAUUUUUAUCAUUUAAUAUAUAAAAAAAACCCAAAUUGAUAUAUACCUAUUAAGAAUAGUAGAAGACGUGAAAGUUAUAUGUUGAGCAUGUAAGAAAAAAAAGUAUUUUUUUGAGUUCAUUAAAAUUAUUUUGUUUAUUUUUAAUAUUUAUAUAAUGAAGUAGAAAUAAAAUUAUAAGUAAUGCAAUAUACUAAUUUGAAGAAAGAAGAUAGUUAUAUGAAAAAAAUAAAUUUAAUAAAUUUAUAAAUACUUCAAUUAAAAUUUUCUUUUCCAACUAAAAGAAAAUUUAAAAGUAAAAAAAUCAAACCGAAUAAAAAAUUUCGGUUCUAGAUUGAAUCGAUGUAUUCGAUGUAUUCGAUUUUGGGGAUAAAAAUUAAACCGACAAAGUUAUCGAUGUUAAGAUGAAAAAGAAAUUAUGAGAGAAUUUGGCCUGCAAUUUGUUGAACCCUUGUUACAUAUAACCCUAAGAAAUCCAUCAUAUGAUAAUGAAAGAAUCACAUAGCAAACCUAUAAUAAUAUUUGUAAUUUUUCUUAAAAUAUUGAAUGAUGAUUUUAAGAACUAUAUAGCAUAGAGCGACGUUCAUUUUUGAGUCUGAGUAGUAUAUCGUCUUCUUGUUAAAGAAUGCUCAAACUGUUAUUGAUAUCUUGAAUGACAUUAAUCAAAAUGAGAGCAAGGAUAAAAUCUAUGCAGACUUGAAUUCUCCAAAAACUGUUGACAACUCUUCCGUUAAGUCCAAUAAAAAGAGGAAGACCAAAGAAAGCAAUAAUCUUAUUGGGCUGGUAGGAAGUAUAAUUGGAGUCUUCAUUGAUAGAAUUGUCCAAAAAUCUAGGAACUCAAGCAAUUUCAAGACUAGCCCAAUAUUGAAGGGCUAAUUGAAGACGAAGUGAUGAUUGCUUCAAGGAAGAUAAUUAAAGAUGUUGGAGCUAUGCUUGUGUUGUUGAAUGUUCCAGCUCAUCAAAAAGUUGAAAUGGGUCAGAGGAUAUAUCUAGACUUAUUAUUAUUAUUAUUAAUUUAAGACAUCAUGUUAUUUUUAAAAACUAUGUUUUAUGCACAUUUUCUUAUAUUUUUAAAAUAUUGAUGUUAAAUAAUCCGAGUAUAAUUUUAAUUUAAUUUUUAUUUGAACUGUAUUUGUAAAAAACAAUGAAAAGAAGAAUGAUAAUUUUAGUUUUACUUUGAUGUGAAUUGUUUUUAGUUGACUGAAGUGGAACUUUAUAAUUGUAUUCACAAAUCUAUAAUUAUAGUCCUAUUUACAUUUUUUAAUCGAAUUUGAUCCGUAAUUUUAAUCGUAUUUGUAAUUGUACUUUUGACACGUUUAAUAAUUUGUAUUGUGUUUGUGUUUACAUUGUUGACAUUAAUAAAUGCAACAAUUUAUAAGUUUUUCAAGGUAUGCUUUAUAAUUCACAAAUGACAUUUAAUAAAAUAAUACAUUAGUAUUGAUAUGUUUAACUAAACUAAGUCAAAUACAUGUAUUAAAAUGCCUCCCCAAUAUUGGGUUAAUUAUUUUUUGGAUGAUGAUGAAAUUUAUUAAUCUAAGAAUGCACUUAAACUGUGACAAAAGAACAAAAACACAAUAUAUAGUGUAGUGGGCCAAAUGUGCCCGAGCCCAUUACAAACAAACCAAAAACAAAUAAAUAAAUAUAAAAACCACAGUCUAUUAACCCAAGCCCAAUAAUUAAACCCUGACCCGAAUCUACAGGACCCAACAGGCCUAGAACACUAAAACAGGACAAAACCCUAGGACAUCUCCUUUUCCUCUGCGCCGCAACCAAGCAACCCCCCAUGCACGGCCUCCGUACCGUCCAGCAGCCACGCCCCGCGCCAGCACAGUUUCCGUACGCCACGCCCACACCCCCGUACACAUACCAGCAGACCCCGUACCUGGAAAAAGACAAACAGGAUGCAACAGCAAAUAGAAAGAAAGAAAAAAAUUGUAUUUCAUUUUUAUUUUUUUUUUACAUUCGGCUAUAAAAGCCUAUUGAUAAGGGCUCUUUUUUUUUACGGGAUAUACAGAAGCAAUAUACAAACAAAGGUGAUUUUCAGUCUCUUACUGGCUUUAGUUCUUUUGAUUGGGUCAUUUUUAUUUUCUUUUCUCUUCAAUCUUUCGUUAUUAUACUUGAAAAUAAAAAGAAACGAAAGGGGAUCUUACUUUGCAAAUUCGCCACGGGUUCUUCUUUGCUUCGCUGAAAUUGAAGUCUGAGGAGUGAUCUUGAGGCUGCAAACUGAUUUCUAGGUUCUAGAAGUUUCAUUGUUGGCGGCGACAUGCUAAAGGAAACCCUAAAAGAAUGGGCUGAUAGCAUGAUUUAUUUCUAAGGGGAAGGAUUUGUGUUUUAGGUAAAAAAAACGAUUGAAAAAGGAGGGGUUUAGCAGCAGAUCUAAACGGCGUCGCUCCAAAAAGGGGUAGGGUCCGCGUGUCUACCCGUUUGAAGACCCGGAUCCACUCUUUUGCGCCUAGAAUGGAAUAUUUGUGCUGAAGGUCCCUCCUCCUUGUGCUGCGUUGUAAUCUGCUUCCAUUUGCAUUUGAUUUGCUUUAUUUUCUUUUAGAUUAUUCCCAAAAUUUGAAAUACUUUUAUGUUGUAGUCCGCAUCUCAACACAAUGUUUCAGGAUCAGGGAUUAUUUCAAUCUUGAUCCCUGUGAAUUCAUGUGUGUUAUAUAUGAGUCUCCAUUAGUAGUUUACUUAUUUGGUAAAUUAUCUUUUUAUUUUACUUUGAUUUCAAUUAAGUAUUUUAUUAGAUUUAUGUUAUAAAUUUGGGUUUAUUCACUCAUAUAUUUUCGGUUCUUUUAUUAAUGCAUGUAUAUUCAUCAUUAUUUUAUUUUCAUUUUUGUUUUUUAUUGUUUAUAUUAUUUGUAAUGUUAAUAUUAAUUGUAUCAUUUGUAUCAUUGGUUACUUAUUUGUUGUAAUUUGGGUAAUUGAAGUUCCACAUGUUGCGUACUAUUUUAUGUAUUGUUUUAUGAAUUAUCAUACAUGUAUAUACCUUAUAAUAAAAUUGGCUUUAUUCUAUGAAUAGAGGUGUGCAUGGGUCGGGCCCAUAAAAAUUUUUGGCCCUUUUUCAAGGCCCAGGCCCGGCCCGGCCCGAAAUAUGGGCCUGAAAAUUUGUCCAAGCCCGGCCCGAGAAAAAAUGGUAGGCCCGGCCCGGCCCGGUCAUAUUAAUUUUUUUUUGCUUUUUUAUUAAAUAAAAAACUUUAAAAUAUAAUAAAUCAAAUACAUUUAAAACAUAAAAACAAAUAUUAAAACAAAAAAUAAAUAAAUAAUGGGACUAAAAUAAUUAUUAAAAUAAUACAUAAAUUAAAAAUAUAAUAAAAAGUAAUUAUAUUAAAAUUAAAAAAUUGAAACAAAUUAAAACUAAAUUAUAUUAAUAACAAAAGUUUUACAAUAUCAAAAUAACAUCAAAACAACAAAAAAAGUAAAGUAAAAGUACUAAAGUUAUUUAAAAUUAAAAAUAAAAAUAAUUUAAUAUUAAAAUCGGGCCGGGCCGGGUCAGGCCCGGGCCAAAAAAAGCUUACCCAAGGCCCGGCCCGUUUUCUAAACGGGCCUCGUUUUUUGUCCAAGCCCGUUUUUCGGGCCUAUAUUUUUACCCAAACCCUCCUAUUUUUCGAGCGGGCCUUCGGGCAGAGCCGGGCCGCCCGGCCCAUGCACACCUCUAUCUAUGAACAUUAUUAACAUUAUUAACUAUUUUUUUUAUAUAUCUGUUAUGUGUAUUUGUUUUUUUUUUAAAAAGAAAUCGUAUGUUAUAUGCAUUAGUUAAAUUUUAACUAUACGUAUACAAAAAUUAUUGAUAUAUAUAAUUUAAAUACAUUUUUAAACAUUAAUAUUUUUAUACAUAUAAUUUCUUUUAGACUUAUUCACGUAUCUUUCUUAUUUAAAAAGAAAAUCCCACAUAUUUCGUGUAUAAUUUAAGUUAUUAUUAAACAUAUAUUUAGAACUUAUAUUUAAUUUGUAUCCAUUGUUAAAGCCAAUAUAUUCUUAUACAUAUAUAUAUUUUUUAAAUAAACUCAUAUAAUUAUUUUUUUUAAUUAUUACACAUAUAAGUUGUGUUUAAUUCUAUAAUUCAUAUUUUAAUUAAAUGAUAUCUUGACAUAUAAUUAUUUCUAACAUUUCUUCACAUGUAUAUGGUACAUAUUAAAUUAUUUUACUAUGGUACUUGUUAUUAUUUUCAUAUAACUUUAUAUAAAUAUUUAUAUAUAUCCCUAUUUUUUAAGCUUGUCAACCUAUAUACCUAACUUAUUAAUAUUAUACCAUUUUGAUUUCUACAUUUCAUUUGCUUCACAUAUAUCUUGUUGUUUUCUUUAUAUCUUAUGGCAUGAAUAUAUAUAAUCAUUGCAUGGUAUUCGUCUUAAUGAUUUGUUAAAUGUUCUUCGUAUGUGAUUGAGAUUUGAUUAUGAUCUCUGGAUUAAUUAUAUUUAAUUGCAUAUUCUGCUAGUCGAUUAAUAUUAUUAUUCAUCAAGCAUCGUACCAUUAUAUGUGCCUUUUACCCUAUAUCAUUGUUUCACUUAAUUUUUGAAAUGUGGUUCUAUAAAACCCAAAUUUUAUGAUUAAUUUCGUCUUAUUUCAAAUCGAGUUAAUACGUCUUAAGCUAGCUUUAUAAUCAUUCAUUCAAAAAUUCUUCAAAACGAAGAUGAGAUUCGAUGUUUGGCAAUUCGCGGAAUCGUGCCCUAACGUGUUGGGUUGCAAUUUCGCGUUUGCUCAAAAUAACCGAAUAUCACUUUAAAAUUUCAUUAAUGUCUUUUAAAAAUUCUUUAAAAUGAAGACGAAAUUUGGUAUUUGGCAAUUCGCGGAAUCGUACCCUAACGUGCUGGGUUGCAAUUCCGAGUUUGCUGAAAAUAAUCAAAUAUCACUUCAAGAUUUCAUCAUUCAUUCAAAAAUUCUUUAAAACGAAGACGAAAUUUGAUAUUUGGCAAUUCGCGGAAUCGUGCUCUAACGUGCUGGGUUACAAUUUCGCGUUCGCUCAAAAUAAUCGAAUAUCACUUCAAAUUUCACUCGUAUCUUCUAAAAAUCCCUUAAAACGAAGGCAAUACUCGGUGUUUGACGAUUCGGGAAUCAUGCCCUAUCGCGUUGGGUUGUGAUUUCUCGUUUGGUCAAAACAAUCGAAUAUUCCUUUAGGUUUUCACUCAUUUUUUUAAGAAAACAUUUUAAAACGAAGGUGAUGUCCAAUGUUUGGCGAUUUGAGAAUCGUGACCUAUCGUGCUGGGUUGCGCAUUUUCUUUGGUUCAAAACAAUUGAAGAUCCCUUCAGAGUUUCACUCACAUUUUUUAAAAACUCUAAAAAAUGAAAGAAACGUUCGAUGUUUGGCAAUUCGGGGAAUAGUGCCCUAUCGUGCUGGGUUGCAAUCUCCCGUUUGUUCAAAAUAAUCGAAUAUUUCUUCGAAAUUUCACUCGUAUUUUCUAAAGCAAGGCAAUGGUCAAUGUUUGGCAAUUCGAGGAAUCGUGCCCUACUGUGCUGGGUUUCGGUUUUCUGUUGAACUAAAUAGUGAGCAUCCUCUUGUGAGUUUCAAAUAAAAAAUUUUCGAAUGCCAAAACAAGAAGAUUUUUGACAAUCAACUCGGGUUAUUCAACUGUUAUUAAAAAGAACCAAAUUUCAAAAACAUUUUUAAUUUUAGACAUAAGGACAGUAUUUAAUUGAUUUGGUACCAAUUUUGGGCGUAGUGAGGGUGCUAAUCCUUCCUCAUGCGUAACCAACUCCCGAGCCCGUUUUCUAAAAUUUUCGUAGGCCAGAGUCGUUGUUUUAGUAAACUAAAAAUGUUUUAUUAAAAUAACUUCAUUCUUAGGUGAUCCGAUCACACCAGAAUAAAGAUCGGUGGCGACUCCAUAUUUCUAUUUUCCAAAGAGUCGAUCCCUCGUAUUUUCAUCGAAUUUAAAAUUUUAAAAUAUUUCGAAAAAGGGAUGGUUUCGACAGCUUGGUGACUCCGCUGGGGAUUGAACUUGAGUCGAGCCAUAAAAAUCGAUUUUUUGCUGUCCUUUUGUCAAAAAUCAAAAUCUGUUUUAAAAAUCAUGUAUCUUUCGAUUGCAUUUGAUUGUAUGUUUGUUUUGGUGCGGGUCUUGUAGAAUAGCACUGCAUUUCAUUGCAUGACCACUGUGGUCACACCUUCUAAGUGGGAGUAAGUAGCUACGCUUUCGUGAGGUUUUCACCUCCGCAUGGGCUAGUGGAUUGCUUCCGGGGUACAUCCGUACCUAUGAUUUCGUGAGAUUUUCAUCUCCGCAUGGUCAUAGGGAAAUGUACCCCCCCCGAAUUGAACUCAAUCUAUAUGAGCCUAUAAUGGGUAAAGAUUGAGGAAUCUGCUGGUUCGGGUACCCUUUUUCCUAGAACUAAACCACAUAUAUGAACCUUAGGAGCUAUCCUUGGGUGAAGCCGCGUCGAGCCUUAGUACUUACCCGUAUAUGCGUUAUGAUUAUCGUUUAUGUGCUUGCAUUUUAUCACUAUUAUUUGAUACUAACCGGUGUUUUGUUUUGAUUGUCUUUUUUGCAUGACAUUGCAUGCUAAAGGAGGCGUUAAUCCGUAUUCAAUUACUAAGUUAGAAAAUUUGACAUGGAGAAUAAAUUUCUUAGUAAAGUCGAGGAUAAUGCGGCCGUUCGUGCAUGGUCGGAGAGGCUACAAUCAGAGAGAGGUGAUAGCUUGGUACAAGGGUAUGUAUCGGAGCUACAGGAUUUCACUCGCGUCAGUAUAGUACAGAAUGAGCUGCAAGAGUUGAGAGACAUUUGGGUUAGUUGGGAUGAAGGGAUCAAGCAGUUGUUUUACCAAAACUACGGUGACAUAUCCUACCUGCUAGACAUUAGAGUGGAUAAGCAUUUAUUUCGAGCUUUGGUGCAGUUUUGGAAUUCUGCGUACAAGUGUUUCACUUUUGGAGAAGUGGAUUUGGUACCUACCAUGGAGGAAUACACUACUUUGCUCAGGUGUCCCAAAAUUCAGGUCCAGAAGACUUAUGCCCGGGUUUUUAGUAGUCAGACUUUCAUGAAGAAACUGAUGAGCAUUUCUGGGAUGAGCGAGCCUUGGGUCACCGCUCGGAUUCAGCAAAAAGGAGAUAGCAAAUGUAUCCCUUGUGAGAAUUUACGAGAUUUGAUCUUGACGCAUCCAGAUGAAAGAAAGAGGGUCGAUAUAUUUGCCUUAAGCAUCUACGGAUUAGUGAUAUUUCCUAAGGCUUUAAGGCACGUGGACGAGGCGGUCAUUGACUUGUUCGAUCGCCUUGAAAAGGGAAUCACACCGGUACCGGCAAUAUUGGUAGAAACGUUCAGAUCUUUGAGCUCAUGUCAGAAGACAGGCGAGGGGCGAUUCAUUGGAUGUGCUCAACUAUUGAUGGAUGGUUUCAUGGGCACUUUUUGAAGGUAGACAAGGUUUCCUAUCGAGUCUUCUCCGAAGGAUAUUCCCCUUUGAAAGAAGAAGCAGCUAUACAUAGGAGAGAGAAUAUCUCGGAGGAGAAGUGGAUGGAUAUUCUUCAGAACCUCAAGGAGGAGGAUAUCGAGUGGAGAGCUUAUUAGAUGGUUCCUGAUGAGAUCAUGUACCGAUGUGGUAACUUUGAUUGGGUGCCAUUGUUAGGAAUUUGGGGACCUACCGGAUAUACUCCGUUGAUAGCCUUGAGGCAAUAUAAGUCGAGGCAGUUUGUACCCACGACCCACGGACUUGCUCAGAGUGAAUUCUCUUUUAAGGGUGCUCAUUAUAAGAAGAGAGUUCGAGAGUUAUCGGAUUCUUGGAAGCAAACUUAUUGGAUGAAGAGGUUAGCCGUCGGUCCCAUGGUAACACCCGAGUACAGCGAGUGGUUAAGAAGAGGAUUAAUGAUAAUAUUCCUAGGCCAAGCUUGGAGAAUGCUCGACCUAUCGGGGAACAAUUACAAGUCGCCCCAUCAGAAUUGGAGAUUAUAAAGUAAGAUUUCGAGAAGAAGAGUUUGAAGCUUGGGAAGAAGAUCGAACAAUUGGAGGAAGAGAAUAUGCACUUGAGAUUAGACGCUGAUGUUCAGAGGUCAGAGGCUGAAAAGUGGAGAAAAGAAAAAACUAAGGCCGAAGAGGAUCUAGACAGCUUGAAGACGGACUACAAGAAGCUGCGCCUAUCUAUGAGGACUGCGGGUUUAGGUAAAACUUCUGAACAAUGGCGCCAUGAAAUUUGAGAAGAAAAGGCUAAUACCAACCGGUGGGAAAGGAAAUUCCGAGAAGCUCAGGCACGAAAUGAAGAUUUGGAGAAGAGUCUGUCGGAAAGUAGAAAUGAGCGAGGGGAAUUAAGGGCUAGAGUGGCAGAACUCGAGAAGUCUCUGCAUCAAUACUGAAACCGUAACACCGCAAUGGAAUUGAGGGCAAGCUUGAGCAAAAUAAAAGAAAUGAAUGGAAAAAUAGAAUAGUUAGAGGCGUCACUGCAAAACUGCGAGAUGCGGAUCUAGCUUUUCGAAGCAAACGAGGAUCGUUGGAAAGCAUAACUUCACCAUGUGCAAAAACAAGUCAGAAACAGGGAUUACCUUAUGAGGAGGCCAUAACCCAGAUCCGGGAGGUAGCGGACUACUUGCAAACUCUAGCGGUUCAGGCAGACACACUAAGCGUGAAAUAUGAGUUGAAGUCAGAGCGCGGACAGGAGCCGGCCUCAUUGCUUAGAAAAAUUAGGACUUUGAGUAUUAGAGCGAAAUUUUAUUUGAAACUCGACUUUAUGUAAAAGAUUUUAUUUUCAAGUGAAAUUUUCUAAGGGCAGUUGAAUCAAAAUUGAUGCCUCCUUUGCAUUCAUGCAUUUGCAUUACAUCAUAUUAUUAUGCAUUAAAGGCCAUAAGAGUUUUCUAAUUAAUUAAUUAAAAAUUAUUUCAGUAACUUGGAAACCAACGAAAACUAACCAACCACGCACCCCUACGGUACAAGGAAAAAAUCAAUGGAUAAAAGACUCGAGAAAUUGGAGCAAAUGCAAAAUAACAUGCAAGAUCAAAUGCAGUCUCAGAUGCAAGAGCAGCUAGCCAAGAUUCAAUGAGAAAUGAAGGAGCAAAUGCUGAAGUCCUAGAGAGAAAUGAUGUCCCAGUUAUCCAAAGUGCUGUUGGGAGGAACGGAUUAGGGAAAGGGCCCCAUAGACAAAGUUGAAGAAACUAAUGAGGAUCCUCAAUACCCCCUGGCUUCACUCCGACACAUGUACCGAUGAAGCCCGAGAUUAAUCUACCGAAACCAUCUGUCACAAUCAUGCCCCAGUAGGUUCAGGCCGGAGCUUCAAUACUAAUGAAUUUCCAAACCGGCUCAGGCUCUAACUUUGUCAACAACCCGAACUAUCCGCCCGUUCUCGACUUGGAUGAAAUUGCUGAAGAAGAAAAGACGAGGAUGGAUUCGCAAAAACAAUUGGAAGAACGGUGUAGAUGGCUCAAGGAGAAAUUCAAAGCCAUGGAAAGCGCGGAUCAUCAUCAAGGGAUUGAUGCCAAAGACCUGAUUCUAGUCCCAGAUUUAGUCCUUCCCUCUAAAUUCAAAAUGCCCGAAUUCGAGAAAUACAAUGGAACGAGCUGCCUUGAAGCCCACAUCACUAUGUUUUGCAGGCGAAUGACGGGAUACGUUAACAGCGACCAGCUAUUAAUCCAUUGCUUUCAAGAUAGCCUGGUCAGGGCGGCGUCUAAGUGGUAUAACCAAUUAAGCCGAGUUAAAAUUAACUCAUGGAAGGACCUGGCUCAGGCCUUUAUGAAGCAAUACAGUCAUGUGACAGACAUGACCCCCGACAGAAUCACUCUCCAGAAUGUGGAGAAAAAGUUAAAUAAAAGCUUCAGACAGUACGCACAAAGGUGAAGAGAAGUGGCUAUACAAGUUCAGCCGUCACUUCUAGAAAAAGAGACGACAAUGCUCUUUAUUAACACCUUGAAAGCCCCUUUUAUUACUCAUAUAUUGGGAAGCGCCACUAAGAGCUUCUCCGGCAUAGUGAUGACAGGGGAAAUAAUCGAAAAUGCCAUGAGAAGCGAUAAGAUAGAAGCAGAAGAAAUUACCAGAAAGUCGGCUUCGAGAAAAAGAGACAAUGAAGUGAACAACACGAGCACAUCUAACAAAGGUCAGUCCAAGUCAUUCACCGUAAAUCAACCCAAGACGGUGACCACCAGUCAGCAAAGUUCUAUAAGACAAGAAUCCAACGCGAGGGAGAACACAGAAAGGCCACAAUUCACCCCUAUACCCAUGACGUAUAGGGAGUUGUACCAGAACCUGUUUAACGUUCAUGUGGUGUCCCCUUUCUACCUGAAGCCACUGUAGCCCCGGUAUCCCAAAUGGUAUGACACAAACGUCCAAUGUGAAUACCACACGGGAAUCACCGGGCACUCUAUCGAAAACUGCACUGCAUUUAAAAAAUUAGUCGAAAGACUCAUUAAGAUGGGGAUCGUGAGAUUUGACGACCCAGCCACACCCAAUGGAGUAGAAAACCCACUCCCCAAUCAUACCGACCAAGGAGUGAAUGAGAUAAGUGAAGGCUUGAACAAGAAGACCAAAUACGAAGUGGCAGAAGUCAGGACCCUGCUGAGGCGGAUAUGGAAAGAGAUGGCCAAGAGAGGAUUGAUAGCGUUGGAUUUGAGGGAAGAACCCGAAGAAGAGAGAAACUACUGUGAGUUUCACGACGAGGUGGGGCAUAAAAUCCAAAAAUGUGUGGAAUUUAGGGCCCUCGUGUAGAACAUGAUGGAUAACAAAGAAAUGGAAUUCUAUGAAGAAGCUAAAAGCCCCGUAGAGAGAGAUAUAUGCGCAUCCGAGGAAGGAUCGGUAGCGCAGAAUCAAACGACCAACUAUCCUGUGGUUAUCAUAUCGAGACCUAAAAAUAAUGAAGCUGGAGUUCAAAUGCCACCGAGAGUCAUAAUACAAAGACCUGUAGUCUUCUCUUACAAAGACAGCAAAAAGGUCCCAUUAAAUUAUGAUUGCAGUGUGACGACGCCGGGAAAAGAGAGCCCGGUUGACGCUUCAAGAGGGGAUCAAAAUAGGGGUUCCUAUACACGUAGCGGGAGGCGUUACGAUACGACGAAUGAGGAGGUACAACCCACAAAAAGAAAAACCCAGGUGGUCGAGGAAAUGAAAGGAAAAGUAACCAAACCUGUUAAUGAGCCAGUUAACGAAGAGGAGGCCAAUGAGUUUUUAAAAUUCUUAAAGUAUAGCGAAUACAGUGUCGUGGAACAGCUACGUAAACAACCAGCCCAUAUUUCGGUGCUGGCCUUGCUUCUGAGCUCAGCAGUCCAUCGCAGCGCACUAAUGAAGGUCUUGAAUGAAACGUAUGUUGCCAAUAAUAUCUCCGUUAACAAGUUGGACCGCUUGGUUAGUAACAUCAGUACCGAUAACUAUAUCUUCUUUAAUGACGAUGAGAUACCACCCGGGGGCAUGGGGUCGACUAAAGCUCUGCAUAUCACCACACGCUGUAAAGGGUAUACGCUGCCAGGCGUACUGAUUGAAAAUGGAUCGGCUCUGAACGUCCUGCCAUUGACCAUGCUAAAUAAAUUACCUGUAGACAGCUCUCACAUGAAGGAGUGCCAGAACAUUGUGAAGGCAUUCGAUGGCACGGAGAGAAAGGUGAUGGGUAGAAUCGAGGCACCUCUUCAGAUUGGGCCAAACACAUAUGAGGUGGAUUUCCUCGUAAUGGACAUCAAGCCCUCAUACAAUUGCUUGUUAGGGAGGCCCUGGAUACAUUCAGCUGGGGCAGUGCCUUCCUCGUUGCAUCAGAAAUUGAAGCUAGUAUCGGAAGGGAGGUUGAUAACGAUCAAGGCUGAGGAGGAUAUUAUUGCAACUGUGAGCAAUAACGCACCCUAUUUGGAGACAGAUGACAAAGCAAUCGAAUGCUCAUUUUAAUCUUUGGAAUUUGUUAAUGCGACGUUCAUCGCCGAGGGAAGUAAAAUUCUGGUGCCGAAAUUGUCCAAAACCACGAGGAUGAGCCUCCAGCUGACGAUUGGAAAAGGGGCUCUACCCGGAAGGGGACUUGGGAGACAUCUGCAAGGAAGGGUUGAAACGCCAAUGCUAAAAGACAAGAGAGACCGCUUCGGCUUAGGAUUUAAGCCGGAUGCAAAACAAAGGAGAAAGGAGCUCGAAAAGAAGAAAGAAAGAAGAAAGAAAGAAGAAGAGCACGAUUAACGGGGGAGGAAAUCAAGUGGAAACCAAUUAUAUUCCCCUAUAUAUCGAAAACAUUUGUGUCCGGGGAAAUCAUUCAUCCUGAGAGAGACACGCCAAUGAUGGGAACUAUAGAAGAAAGGCUGGAAAGCUUGGAAAUCAAUGUCAUGUACGAAAAGGAGACUGGAAAGGAAAAUUUGUCGGGCAUUUGCCCCUACACACUUGGAAGUUUUCUGGACAACUGGACUGCGGAAGAGAUUCCUGUAGUUUUUAGAACGGAUUCAAAGUAAUGUCCAAAACACACUUAUUGCUCUAAGCCUAGGAGUGAUAAGAAUCUUUUGUGAAACAGGUCGAUGUUUAAAAAUAUUGUUUCAAUAAAAUGCACAGAUAUUAUCAUUUUGAGCAAAUGUUCUCUCGUCCUUUCAAUUUCAUUCAUAACCAUACAAAUGAUUACUUUCAGAUUCUUUUAUUCUUGAAAUAUUAUUCUAAAUAUUCUUUCAUUCGUCAUUCAUAAUCAUACCACGCAAAUAAAUGUUUCGAAUUCUUUUGAUUCUUUGAAUCUGCCUUCGUCCUCAUCACAGGUCCCCAGAUAUUAAUGAUACGAGUGACACUACUAGCGACUCAGAAUUUCCUUUCGAGUAAGAUGUGUGUAUAGAUGAUUCUCAGGAUUUUGAUGAUGACCAAGGCUGUAACCUAUCUCCUAAUUUGUUGAGGAUGGUAGAACAAGACGAGAAACAAAUCCUACCCCACAAAGAAUCAAUUGAAAUUGUGAACUUAGGAGAAGGAUAAGAGGUGAAGAUCGGAACGUGUAUUACUACGGAGAUGAAGCGAGACCUCAUUGAAUUGCUUCAAAAAUUUAAAGAUAUCUUCGCAUGGUCGUACCAAGAUAUGCCCGGGUUGGACACUGACAUCGUGGUGCACCGACUCCCUAUAAAAGAAGAGUGUAAGCCAGUUCAGCAAAAACUCCGAAGAAUGAGGCCCGACGUCUUGCUAAAAAUAAAAGAGGAGGUUCGAAAGCAGUUUGAUGUUGGAUUCCUGAAGGUGGUAAAAUACUCAGAUUGGGUAGCCAACAUCGUCCCCGUCCCUAAGAAAGAUGAAAAAGUGCGAAUGUGUGUGGACUACAGAGAUUUAAAUAAAGCCAGCCCGAAAGACAAUUUCCCACUGCCUCAUAUUGACACUCCUGAAGACAUCAGAAUACCUUUGUGAAAGAUGAGGAUCAAGAUUUUGAGACUUAGCUAGACCGGGCAAAUUUGGUCCUUUUUAUAGUCUUUGCUCUAUUCUCGUUACACGACAAUGAGCAAAGAGGGGCAGCUGUAGUGGGCUAAAUGUGCCCGGGCCCAUUACAAACAAACCAAAAACAAAUAAAUAAAUCUAAAAACCAUAGUCUAUUAACCCAAGCCCAAUAAUUAAAUCCUGACCCGAAUCUACAGGACCCGACAGGCCCAGAACACUAAAACAGGACAAAACCCUAGGACAUCUCCUUUUCCUCUGCGCCGCAACCAAGCAACCCCCC